AGCAUGUAGGUUGAGGUAGUGCUCCCCUAAUUUUCCGAGUGAGGAAAACUUCUCUUUUGGAAACUUGAAAAAUUCAAGUCACUGAGUGGUCGUGAGACUUCCGAGUAUCAAGGUGCAGUAGCAUAUGGUAGGAGUCCCCCAAGUUUCCGGUCGAAGUAGUUGACGAAUGAGGCAUUUCCUUUCUAAGUGGUAGCUCAAAACUCCUUCUUCAUAUAUAUUUGUUAUGAAAGUUGUUAGACUCAUAGAAUAGGAGGCCUAGGCAAUUUUUAUUUUAUUUUUUUGAAUUUUUUUUUUUCGAUUUUUUUUCGAAUUUUUGAAUUUCCAAAAUUUUGAAUUUUUGAAUUUUUGAAUUUCUGAAAAUAUAUAUAUAUAUAUAUAUAUAUAUUUUUUUUUUAAAGCUUUGUAAGUGAAGCUUUGGUGUUGAAGCUUUGAGGUUGAAGCUUUGUUGGGCACCAUGAAUUGAUUUUGCUUCACACUAUCUUGAUCAAGAUAGUGUGAAACUUUUGUAGGUGAAGCUUUUGUAUUGAAGCUUUGUAGGUAAAGCUUUUGUAUUGAAGUUUUGUAAGUGAAGUUUUUGUGGGUGAAGUUUUUGUGGGUCAAGCUUUUGUAGGUGAAGCUUUUGUAUUGAAGCUUUGUAAGUGAAGUUUUUGUGGGUGAAGUUUUUGUGGGUCAAGCUUUUGUAGGUGAAGCUUUUAUGGGUCAAGCUUUUGUAGGUCAAGCUUUUGUAGGUCAAGCUUUUAUGGGUCAAGUUUUUGUGGGUCAAGCUUUUGUGGGUGAAGCUUUUGUAGGUGAAGCUUUUGUGGGUGAAGCUUUUGUGGGUGAAGCUUUUGUGGGUGAAGCUUUUGUGGGUGAAGCUUUUGUAGGUCAAGCUUUUAUGGGUCAAGCUUUUGUGGGUCAAGCUUUUGUAGGUGAAGCUUUUGUGUUGAAGCUUGCUUUUGUGGGUGAAGCUUUUGUAGGUGAAGCUUUGAAGUUGAAGCUUUUGUUGGGUACCAUGAAUUGAUUUUGCUUCACACUAUUUUCAUCAAGAUAGUGUGAAGCUUUUGAGAAUUUGUAGUUGUCCUCCAUUGAUGAAGCUUUGGAGUUGAAGUUUUAUAGGUGAAGCUUUGGAGUUGAAACUUUUGUUGGGUACCAUGAAUUGAUUUUGCUUCACACUAUCUUGAUUAAGAUAGUGUAAAGCUUUUGAGAAUUUGUAGUUGUCCUCCAUUGAUGAAGCUUUGUUGAAUUUCCACACUGUUGAGCAAGAGAUUGUGAUGCAAGCCACACCUUGUAUUAGUCGAAGGUUUGGAUGAACCAUAUAAAUUGAAUUUGCUUCGAAGGUCUAAGAAUUGUAGUUGCCCUCCAUUGAUGAAGCUUUUGUUGGCACCAUAAAUUGGUUUUGCUUCACACUGUCAUGAUCAAGAGUGUGUGAAGCUUUUGAGAAUUGUGGUUGAACUCCUUUGGUGAAGCUUUUUUUGGCACCAUAAAUUAGUUUUGCUUCACACUGUCUUGAUCAAGAGUGUGUGAAGCUUUUGAGAAUUGUGGUUGCCCUUCAUUGAUGGAGCUCUUGUUGGCACCAUAAAUUGGUUUUGUUUCACACUGUCUUGAUCAAGAGUGUGUGAAGCUUUUGAGAAUUGUGGUUGAACUCCUUUGAUGAAGCUCUUGUUGGCACCAUAAAUUGGUUUUGCUUCACACUGUCUUGAUCAAGAGUGUGUGAAGUUUUUGAAAAUUGUGGUUACCCUCCAUUGAUGAAGCUCUUGCUGUUGGCACCAUAAAUUGGUUUUGCUUCACACUGUCUUGAUCAAGAGUGUGUGAAGCUUUUGAGAAUUGUGGUUGCCCUCUAUUGAUGAAGCUUUUGUUGUCACCAUAAAUUGGUUUUGCUUCACACUGUCUUGAUCAAGAGUGUGUGAAGUUUUUAAGACUUGUGGUUGAACUCCUUUGAUGAAGCUCUUGUUGGCACCAUAAAUUAGUUUUGCUUCACACUAUCUUGAUCAAGAGUGUGUGAAGCUUUUGAGAAUUGUGGUUGCCCUCUAUUGAUGAAACUCUUGUUGGCACCACAAAAGCUUGACCCACGAGGCUUAUGUAUUGAUGAAGCUCUUGAUGCAUAAAAUCAGUGAGGACUUUGGUACAACAUAAAGUGUUAAGUUUGUGACAUUCGCUAGAUUGCUCCGGUCACUAGUAUGGAUAAGUAUGUAAAUGGAUAGAGAUAGGGAAGCAAACACAAGAUGUACGUGGUUCACCCAAAUUGGCUACGUCCACGGAGUAGAGGAGUUCUCAUUAAUUGGGAAGGGUUUACACAAGUACAUAGGUUCAAGCUCUCCUUUAAUGAGUACUAGUGAAUGAUUUAGUACAAAUGACAUUAGGGAAUAUUGUGAGAGAAUGAUCUCUAUUUAUAGAAGAUAGUUUCUAAUUUCAUUCUGAUAUUGACACGUGUCGUGUUGUGAUUGGCUUCUGAUGUUGACACAUGUCGCGCUAUGAUUGGCUUCUGAUGUCGACAUGUGUCGCGCUGUGAUUGGCCUCCUGGUUGGAGAGAAACUCUUCUGGGUCCUUGAUGGUAUAACGUUGACCGGUACUCAGUAGUUUCGGGAUUGGUCAAGUAUGGUACAAAUAAAAACAAUACCAAACGAAGCAUAAAACCUAUUAACAAGAAGUUGAGGAAUCUAAUUUCCUCAUGUCUUAAUUAGCAUCUUAACACUAAUUAGCUCGCAAAGAUUUGACUAAUAUACAUAACAAUAAUCAAUCUAACCGAUGAAGAAGCCAUGAAGCCACUCUUCAAUGUUGACCUUCUCCUCCACGUCAAAUUCUCAAUGUUAACAAUAGGUCUUAGUUCAAUUGCGAGAAUAUUCAUGGCUGAAGCGACCGGCAUACUCUCGUAGUGACUCGUCCGGCUUCUGGCAAAUAGUGUACAAGUAAUCUGCAGAAUGCAAGUGAUCGAUCUGGAAGAUGUGUUGAGAGACAAACAGUUUCCUUAAUUCCUCAAAUGAGUCUACUGUCUCAGGUGGAAUACGGCAAUACCAGUUUAGAGCUCCGCCAGAAAUAGUGGAGGGGAAGAGAAGACAUCGCUCUUCGUCGGUGUGCAUUCGAUAUGCCAUGGUGGACUCAAAGAGGUUAAAGUGUUCAAUUAGGUCCUCCCUUCCUGUAUAGAGUUGUAAACCAAGCUUUUGUUUUGUCUUCGCUUGAAGGGGCGUGUCGAUGAUCCUUCUUAUGAGAAGGCCAAGCCUGGGUUGGUUCCAGUCAGGUAUCUCGGCCUAACGUUUGGCAUUCAACUUGUUUACUUCCUCAAGGAGCUGUAGGGCAAUGGGGUCCUGAGUGGAGUCAUGUGUCACUGGAAUUUUCUUUCGUAAGUCUUCAUCGCCUCUUGGAAGUAGGAAAGUUUAAGCAAUGACGUGUGGUUUUUUCAUGGACUCGCUGUACUGACUUUUAGGGCAAGUAUGUCGGAAUACCUCAGAGUCCCCCAUACCUUCAUGUUCCUCUGGGACCAGUCAUUCCUUCCCUAGAUUGGCAGUUGGCCUGGGUCGUGGGAGGGGAUCGAGUCUUUCAGAAACCCUUGGGUCAUUGAUUUUCGAGCAUAUGUGGAGGGGAUUUUUUCGACGUUGCUUUAGGAAGUCUCGGCAGUCACGAUAAAUGGUUUUCGAUCCUUCCAACCUUUCUGCAAGGAGGUGUCUUCCUCCACUUUUUCUACUUCGGGUCGAAGCAUCUGGGUUGAAAGAAGUCUCAUGUUGAUCAAUGUUUUGAUGAUUAGCUCGCUCCUCAUCAGGGAUACCCAUGUCGAAUGGAGGUGACCCUCCGUGUUGGGGGGCACCCAGAUGAUAGUUGAUGUCCAUAGGGGUAACGAGCUUCCGUGUUUGAGUACGCUUAGUUUCGUGGAGUGUCUUAAAGAGCUUCUCAUACUGCUCCUGGAGGACCUCAUUCUUCAUUUCUAUCUUGUUGUUCUAAGCUUUUAGCUCAUCGACUUUAGCUUGAAAAGCAACCAUCUUUCCUUCAUUCUUUCGUUUCUUCGCACUAGGUGCAAGAGGGGUGUCAUUCUAUGUGCUGUGGCUUCCUUCGCUCCCCAUGUUGGAAAGGGAUGCCUGGUCAAAAUAGAGUGUACGAAUGGUGGAAACCAGCUUGGCAAAGCUGAAGAGAGUGGGAAUAAGUGUCGUUCCCACAGACAGCGCCAAAUGUUGAUACACAAAAUCAGCGAGGACUUUGGUACAACAAAAAGUGUUAAGUUUGUGACAUUCGCUAGAUUGCUCCGAUCAUUAGUGUGGAUAAGUAAGUAAAUGGAUAGGGACAGGGAAGCAAACACAAGAUGUACGUGGUUCACCCAGAUUGGCUACGUCCACGGAGUAGAGGAGUUCUCAUUAAUUGUGAAAGGUUUACACAAGUACAUAGGUUCAAGCUCUCCUUUAGUGAGUACUAGUGAAUGAUUUGGUACAAAUGACAUUAGGAAAUAUUGUGAGAGAAUGAUCUCUAUUUAUAGAAGAGAGUUUCUAGUUUCAUUCUGACUUUGACACGUGUCGUGUUGUGAUUGGCUUCUGAUGUUGACACGUAUCGCGCUAUGAUUGGCUUCUGAUGUCGACACGUGUCGCACUGUGAUUGGCCUCCUGGUUGGAGGAAAACUCUUCUGGGUCAUUGACGGUAUAAUGUUGACUGGUGCUCAGUAGUUUCGGGAUUGGUCAAGUAUGGUACAAACACAAAAUGUAUUGAUGCUAGGUGAAUAAGUCGCAACACAAAAUGAAAACGGACCAAUGCCAAAUUAAAAUGUAUCGACCAAAUUUAUUUAUUGGUACUAGAUAAAGUACGGACCCAAUUUAUUUACCCAUUCUAUACAUGCCACUUCAAGUAAUGCUUAGAAAGUACAUGCCUACUAACACACAAUUAACUUUAUAAAUUAAAUAUGAAAAUAAAUGUACCAAUCAACAAUAUUAAUAAAAUCGCUUUGAAAAAAAUGUAUAAAGUUAAAUUGAAUAUAGAAAUAAACGUACCAAUCAACAAUAUGAGUAAAAUUGCUUUAAAAAAAUAAUAUAUAUAUAUAUAUAUAUAAUCAAACGAUUGUGGUGGCACUAGUGGCGGUUGUGGUGGCAGUUGUGACGAUUGUGGUGGCGGUGCAGUGGUGGUGGUGGUGGCAGUGGCGGUGAUGUAAGGUUAGUGUUUAUAGUGGUAAGUGGUGGCAAUCAUUUUAUUCUCCAAGGAUUAAAUGUGUGUAGAAGGAUAAAAUAUGUUAUUUUAAAAAACUAAUGAAGGUAUUACAAGAAUUGAAAAUUUUCAUUAAAUGCUCAAUUCCUUUUAAAAACAACCUAUAUGCUUCUUUUAAAAAUUGUUGUAUGGAGACUAUUGUUUUUAAAAUAAACAGAAUAUUUUAUUUUUACCAAACACUUUUUACUGCUUAACUAUAAAUGAAACAAAUUUCGAUAAAAAAAAAACAACACCAAACGAAGCAUAAAACCUAUUAACAAGAAGUGGAGGAGUCUAAUUUCCUCAUGUCUUAAUUAGCAUCUUAACACUAAUUAGCUCGCAAAUAUUUGACUAAUAUACAUAACAAUAAUCAAUCUAACCGAUAAAGAAGCCAUGAAGCCACUCUUCAAUGUUGACCUUCUCAUCCACGUCAAAUUCUCGAUGUUAACAAUAGGCCUUAGUUCAACAAUGAGCAUAUAUUAUUCCGUUAUACUUUCAAAACCAAUAUGAACUCAAACAUUCGGCUAAAAUACACCUCAUAUUCGAACAAUAUAUUUUGUUAAUUGUGAAAGGUGAUUUGGAAGAUAAUUGUGAUACUUGAUGCCAUGCGCGCUCUCGAUUUCUAACUACUCAUGCCGCCAUUGUCAUUGGGUAUGACCGGUGACAACUUGGUGGAAACGUAGCAAUUCGACACGAUUAUUCUCCAAACAUAUGAUUGUUGAGAGCCUGAAUCCUAUGUAAGGGUGGGCAACGGUUAUGCCAGACGGGUAACCGCGGUUAUUUACUUAUAACUGUUUAUGCUCAUACUCGCAUAACCGUUUACCCAUUUGGUAAUUGCCUAAAUUGUUAUACUCAUACCUAUAACCGUUUAUAAACGGUUAACCAUACCAAUAAUCGCAUACCCAUUUAACCGUAACCGUUUAAUACCCGUUUACUCAUUUUUAACUUGUUUAUCUUUUUCCCAUUUUUAACUUGUUUAUCUUUUUUUUUUACCAUUACCCAUUUUUCACCCAUCUACAUGUUUUUUAACAAAUUGAAAUUUUAAAAAAAAUUUGUCAUAAUUUUUUUUGACAAUUAAACACCGUUAUAGGGGUACAUUCAUUAUACAUUUCCUUAUUUUAAUUUUUUAAGUCCUUAUACCGUUUCAAUAAUUGAAAUAAUAGUUUACAGACGAUAUUUUUAAGGGGUGUGAUAUCCACACACCCCAUUUUACUUCUCACACACCUUUUUAAUUUUCGACCGUCGGAUCAGAUGAAUUGAAGAAGAUCAACGGACAAUAAUUAUUAAAGGUGUGUGAGAAGUAAAAUAUGGUGUGUGGAUAGCACACCCCUAUUUUUAACUGUUACCAAUGAAGGUAAUAUAAUAUUUGCUAAGUAUUCUUGGGUUAUGAAAACUGUUUAGAAGACAGUAUUUUUGAGUUAUUUAACCCAUAGUGCAAAGUAUUAACAUAAUAUAUAUAAUGAGCUACAUUAUUUUAUAAUUAGCUAUAUAAACCAUGCACUAUAGUCAAUAGCAUCAGAGGUGCAAUUUGGGCUGAGCCAACCCGAACCCGCCCAUGUCUAACCUGACUUUAAACUCGAAUAAGCGAAUUUUGUUGUUGUUAUAACCCGCCUGAACCCAACCCGAUUUCAACCCGUUCAUUGAUUGGGUUGGAUUGGGUUGAUCAUUUGUCCAUCCCAACCCAAUCCAAUUAACCAAACCCUAUUAGGUUGAGCUGUGCAACAUACUUCUCAAUAACCUUUGCACCUUUGCACCUUUGCACCUUUGCACCUUUGCACUUUCAUGAGAACCUACUGAUAUGAUAUACAAUUUGACUUGAAAGGAAUCAUAUUAAGUUUAUUUUGCUUUUCACAUCACAUCCUGUAGAACAACUUCCUUUAUUAAAUUAAUAUUGCAACUAUUCGACCUCUCUUUGAGAUCUGCUUCACAGUUUGAGUUGUGAUUGUUUCUUAUGCUGAUUCAGACGAAGUAGGCUAUUGAGCAAGUAAAUUUGAGGGAAAGUGAUUUUAAGGUCAGUUGUUUGCUAAUACAAAUAGGUUGACAUCAUUGUUGAAAAACAUUAAACACUACUUGAAAAAGUUAGGCAACCCAAACUCAACCCAAGUAAAUCCAAACCCGAUUAAACCCGAGCCCGACUAAACCCGAUUAAAACCCAAUCCGAACCCGAACCCGAAUUGUAAAAGUUGGGUUAGGAUUUGGUUGAUUUUCCAACUCGCCCGAGUUGCACCCCUAAAUAGCAUUGAUCUAAGUUUUGUCCUAUAGAGAACAUGGUUUGUGUUAAUUUUACAUAUAUAAAAUAAAUGGGUAAACGGUUACCUGUUUAUAACCGUUAUUUAUACCUAUAACCGUUUAUUUAUCUAAAUAGUUACCUAUAACCAUAACCGUAAAGUUUAAAUAAGUGGGUAACUGCGAUUACAAGGUAUUUUACCCAUAUUCCCAUGUCAGAAAGUAAAGCAUUGCCGUAUAAUUUAAAUUAUCUUAGAUCAGUUGAUUUUAGACCGAAUGUUCACAUUCUAAAAUUUCUAAUAACGUCUGCGUUGGUUGUGAUAUGAGUUCUGCACCUCCGAUAUUGUAAAGCAUUAAAUAAAGGCCCAAUUACAAAUUCAUAAUUUUGGCCCAUGGUUUUUGGGCCCAGAGUAAGGUUGCGUAAUUUCCAGGGUCAAGUUUUAAAUUUGAUGCUUAAAUAGCAAGCCCAACCUUUUGCAAUCUCUUACAUGGGCAUUUUCCAGUCUUUACUUUUCAUUUUCAUUUUUACUUUGGAAUUCUAAUCCUGUAUAACAGUACAUGUGGAAAAUCUAUAUCUUUUUUUCUUUUUCUGCAUAUUCCUGUUUAGUUUUGUUAUUUGAUUUUCUAAUACUUUAUUUCAUUCAAAGGUUAGAAAUGAGCAAGAUUUGUGUGUGGGAGAAAAAAGUGUGUGCGACAAUCAUUUCUCAUUUCAUUUUUUAUCGAGGAGAUAAGAGAUUCAAACUUAAAAUCUCUUCUAACAUUGAGAAGUAUCACUAUUGUACUAACGACUAGUUGGUAAUCUUGCACAUGUGUUCAAAACCAAAAAAUUUCUAUUUUGUAUAAUGAGAUGCAAAAUUUAGAUUGCAACGAAGUUCUUCUUUUUAUGCAUGUGAGAGUGAAAUUGCAAUAAAUCGAACAACUUCAAUUACAUAUAUAAGAGUUUCUUUUCUUGUUUGUUAGAAAAUUUUGUGCAGAACGGUUUCAUAUUACAUAUGUAUCUUUUUACUUUUUAUCACGUAUCUUGUCAGGUGACUUCGCAAUGAGAGAUAGAAACACGUCAAGAUACAACGAUUGUUCCAAGAAAGUUUUCUAGUGGUAUGAGAAAGUUAACGAAAAGGGUUGGGACUUGGGAGGCGUUACGUCGUUAUCUGUAACGGUCUUAACAUGGAGCCAAGAUGGGAUGGUAGGGUUUUCGUGUGCAUGAAGGAUGCAGAUGACCUGAUCUGCCUUUCCCUUUGUGCUUGUGACCUCCUGCAAUUUCCAUAUCGACAAAACUUUUGCCCCUUGAUGGAAAUAUCCAACUUUGUGGGGGCCACCAGUCCAAUCCAUGCAUGGAUCCGGCCCGUUCAAUUUUCAUCGCCAGAAUUCAGUUGAUCACCUUGAUAUCAUGACCUAAUUCAAUCAUCAUUUGGAAGACUUUUUUGUCAAAUAAAACGAAAUAAUUGAUUAAUAUGAUUACAAGAUUAAUUCUUCAUUUUCAACAAUAUUGUAGGAUUUAUUUACUAGAGUGAUAGAAGAUUUGAACUUGAAUCCAGACCGCUUUAAAAACUCGUAAAAAAAUAGUAUCAAUGACCAUUUCCUCCUGUUUUGGAGGCAAAUUUGGUCCACUGUUUUUGUGCAUGAAUAAUGGUUGCCUUUAGUAUUAUUUGCUACUUUUUCUUCAGUAAAACAAUAAUACUGUCACUUUCUAUGAUGCCCAUUUCACACUAGCAUGCCCUGGAAGAACUAAAUAUCUUUUGUCAACAAAAAUCUUCCAUAGGUUGUUCCAAUCCAAGCUAGCCUUGGGUUGUCAUGAUGAUUUUGGUUUUAAUACAAAGUAAAUGGUAUAUAUCAACCGACCAACUGUAUAAGUUACUGUCAGUCGUUAAUAUAUGAACGUUGGUUCAUAUAAAUCUCAUAGGUUCCAUUUGGUGUACGAAAUGAAAGGUUGUGAGUAACAGUUAUAUCCUUAAAGAAAAUAUUGACAAAUUAUGUAAUGUACCCAUCCUGCAGUCCUCAUGUUGGCCAUAACCCUACCCAUGUGCAAAUACAAGUGAACAUAUAUCUCUUUUAAUGUAAUCAAAAUUAAAUUGAAACUUAAAACUUAAAUAAGAUUAGGGUUUUGAAUAUUCUAACGUGCAUGGGUUUGGUGACAUAGCAGGUUUAUUCGGUCCCUCGUACACUAGCAAAAGAGCUUGAAAUUAAUUAAUAUAAUUUUAAUUAAAUUAAAUAAUAAUGAUUAAGCUGAGUAAGAAGGAAGAAAGAUCUCCUAAUUAAUCAUCUCCCAAUUGGAUGCAUGACAGUAGCAUUUGGCCCACGUUCCGGAGUAGGCUCCAUCCUCCAUAACAUGCACAUGAGCUGCCAACCAUUUGGUCUCUCUGGGACCGCAUCAUAUUCAUCUGCAGUUAUUUGGAUUCUCAUACGAUCGACACAGAGAGAGAGAGAGAGAGAGAGAGAGAGAGAGAGAGAGAGAGAGGUUUGCAUUGUGAUGAGUGUGAACCCAUGAGACGUUGCAUAGUAUUAUCUUCUGCUACUAUCCCUCCCCAUUGGUUCUGCAAACCCAACACCAACCAAGAUAAGCGUUAGGCUAGUCGGUCGCCUUACCGCUUCUGGUGACGGUAUACUGUUGAUGUAUGUAUAAAUAAUGAACGACUGAGUUUAGUAUUCAUCUAUCUCUUUUGAAAUACCAAACGUACAAUAUGUGACAUUUGUGUAACAAAAGCCGUCUCCUUAUUCUUAUACUUCCAACACCUAGAGUAGUACGUAGCAGUGGUAGUCUUAUCGCACUUACUGACCUUUUUGUUUCAAUUGAUUCUCUCGAUUGAUAAGUGGCCGGUGUUUGGUCCUAAAUAGAAAUUAGGUUAAAUUAUAAACAUAAUCUUUUUCACAAAUGUAUGUUUUACAAUAAGGUAGAAUAAUUAUGUUGACAAAAUUGAAGGUUUCAAUGUACGAUAGAUUAAUUGGAAUGUAGAUGAUUCUCAGUUGUUGAGGCAUUCACUUUAUUUGGUGCGGAUGUAUAAUUGAUGGACAGUCGUUCAUGCACGUGUGUUUGUAUGAAGAUAUGUAAAGCAACCCUCUAGAUAUGAAUAGACAUAAGGUCUUUGUAAGUUGGGCUACUACUAUAUAGCGAAUUAAUUUUAUGUUGAAACCUCAGCUUUAUUCAUGAUAUCAAAGUAGGGUGUUUCAUGUGUGAAGCCCAACGGCUACACGUGCUUCACAUCACUCAUUUUAUUUUGUCCAUGUGCUAAGCUUAAAAAUUCGUCACGUGAUGAGACGUGUUGGAGUAUUAAUCCUACAUCGAAAAGAAGGAAACUUGCAUUGACAAAUAAGAUACGCUAAUACCCAUAUUAUCAAUUAAUUUUAUAAAUUUUAUAGUAAAACCCAAACAUUUUUCAUAAUUUUCUUUGGAGUUAACUAAAGCCAGAAGUUUGUGGUGUUGUUAACUCACUACCUAGGAGUGGACAUUUUAACCGGUAAAUCGGGUCGAGAAAACCAAAAGAAUCGGGUUUGACAUUGUCACAUUCUUGUUGCAUUUUUUCCCAAAUACCGAAUGUAAUGUGCCAUUCUUGUUACGGACAAGGAUUGUCUGCCCUCCUAGUUGUGGUGCCCUUCUAUGCCCUCCUAUUUUGUGCGGUCACGGUUAAGCCACGUCAACAUUUUAUAUUAAUUUUUUAAUGAGAUAAUAAGACAAAAAACAAUAAAAAUAUAAAAUAUUAACGUGGCUUAACCGUGACCGCACAAAAUAGGAGGGCAUGGAAGGGCACCACAACUAGGAGGGCACCUUGUCCUUCUUGUUACAAAAGCCUCUUUAUUCUUAUCCAAUAGAAGUAGUACGUAGUCUUAUCUCACCUAAUGGUCUUUUCUGUCAAUUGAUUCUCUCAGUUUAUAUAUAAGCUUUGUUUGUUUCAAAAUACAAAUUAGCUAAAUCAUAAACGUAAUGUGUUUCUGUUUGGAUCUUACUGUACACCAUUGAUCUGUUUAAUUGAGGCUGUUGAAUUUUAAUAUUUUUCUUAAAUAUUACUAUUGCUGAUUCGAAUUCAAUAGAGAAAACCAGGCAUUAUCCAUUGCUGGUUGUUUGUUGGAGAUCCAUUUGUUGAUAAAGACUUACUCAAGUGAUGGCAAGGAUUUUCCAACUUGGCUUGAGUAAAGAAAAGAUAAAAGAAGGUACCAUCCAUUUGUGAUAUUAUCCCUUUGGCCAAUUUGAUAAUUUAUUCUUUUUGGCCAAUUUGAUAGUAUUUCCUAAUAGAAUGCUCAGUGUUCAUUAAGAUAAAGAUGGCCAUCAAAAGGCCUUUGGUAGCCACGGUAUGGACUUUACAACACGUUCAAGCGUAUUAGUCCUAUAAAUACAUAAAACCGUGUAAUGAGAAGGCAACCUUCAACUUAACAUACAAAUAUGCCUUGCACAAAUCUCGCUCUAGGCGAACACUUCUCACACUCAGAGAACUAACUAACUCACAUUUUGAGAAAUCACUAACUCUCCACUUUCCUAACUACUUAAAGCUCGAUUGAUUAUCUAUCCAAGUCUCAGCUGACGAGGAGUCCUUGAUUCUUUAAUUGAACGAGGUCACUUUACUAGCUUUCCAACCAAAUUAAGUGUUUUAUGCUUGGUUACUUCUGGUACAUUUUAGAGUUCGGUAUUCUGACGGUUGAACAACAUUUACCAUCAAGACAUUUAUCUCUUUCGAGUACGAGUAUCCUUACAGUUUAACUCCGAACUGAUCAGAGCACUUAUAUUUUCACAAAUAUAGUCGAGGCGGCCGAACCUGGUGCAAAAGAUCAUGAACUUCACAGUGACUAACAACCUUUUUGACAUCACCACCACAUUCAUUCUACUAACCGACCGAGUUCGAUGGCAAGUUAGCACGACCGCAUUCAUCAUAAUGACGUAGUUAGCUUUUUGUUAUUCAGUCUACGUGUAAGUAAACUUGAUAGUUUUUAAGGUCAACAAUUUCACAAAUUGUGCUUUACAUUCUAACAAGUUUUACGAUCUCAACUUAUACUAGACGAAGGCGGACGAUCGAUUGUUAGUUGUUGCUGCGAGUUUCAUUGUGAUUGCGGAUGUAUAAUUGACAUACAAUCGUAACGUGUGUUUGUGGGCAAAGCAACUCUCUAGACAUCAAAAGAUAAGGUCUUUAGUUUUAUUCAGAAUUUGAGGUGUCUAUAUAAGUCACAAAAACCAAGAAACCUCUCGAACUCGUACCUUGGAUGCAGUGGAUGGGUUCCUAUCACAUGGUUGUCGCCAAAGGCAACAGAAGAGUACUCGCUAUAAUACUAAAUUAACAUGGUCCACUAGACGGUGGCUUUCCACCCUUUUUGUCGAUCGUGAGAGUAUGAUUUGGCCAAAUGCACUGUUAUUCUCCCAAAGUCGAGGUCAAUUUAGUAAACUAAUAUAUAGAAGUUUUUAAAAGUCACUAGUCUAGUAGCGGGUAGAGGCCUGUCGCUUAGGGGGGCCUAGGUAAUUUUUUAUUUUUAAUUAAUUUUUUAUAUAAUAUAUAGAUAAAUAUCUACUUAUAUUUUUUUUAAAAUAUAACUGUAUUGAGAUACAUUAAUUAGAAAAUGGAACUAUAUAUAAAUUAUAAAGUAUUAGAAUUGAAAACAUGGGGAAUAAACAUAUAAUGAGUGUUCAUCUCAAUAUUUAACAAGUUUUUUACAAUUUAUUGAAAAAAUAAAAUGUAAAAUGAAAGUUAUCUAUUUUCUAUCUAAAUGAGAGUUACGAUCUAGACGAGCGCCUACGCAGAUCUAGACGCUCUUUCUUAGUUUUCAAACGUCUAGUGAUCAAUCAAAGCGAUGACUACCUGCUUAGCGCCUAGGCAGGCUUAAGCGAAGCUAGGCGGUAAUUUUUAAAAGAAUGUGAUAUAUAGUUAGUAAUGAUAGCUACAAGGAAGAAAGAAACAACCCCACUGUACGAAACCAAAAACACUAAGCUACGAUGUGUUCUUAUCAUCUUAAGUUGUCCUACGAAUAAGUUAUGAAACCUAAUAUUAUGUUGUUGACCUAACCAAGUAGCUAGUAGCUAGUAUCGUUCACAUCAUCACUCCUAAAGUAACUUGAGGUAAAUUAGUUGCAAGAUAGCUAGAAUACAGAUCCGUCAAGGGACAUUUUUGUAAGACACAUUUUUAUUGAAAGCGCUACAAAUUUUUAUCGAAAAUUCAAGUACAUCUUGUUGGAGCAUAACGUGGUAUUGUUUGCAUACAUCAUGUAAAACUUUUACAUGUUAGGAUUUAACAAAGCAAGUAUUUUACGUUUUCAUCUCUCACACUUCAUUGUGAUCGAAACUCAAAAGAAAGAUGAUAAUAAGGUCAACUAGUACCCUAAUGAAUAUGAUUUUUAAUUUUCCGUGUAUUGCAUUACGGUUAAAAUGCAAGAUUUUUCCAAUAUUAAACUAUCAUAAGUAGUGUGUGAUGUCAGAGAUAUUACGAGACGAAGAACUUGCUGGUUCUAGUAUGAAAAUUGUUUUUGAAAUUUUGAUUUAAAAUGAUUCAGUCUUCAUAGGUGUCGGCGGGUUGGAUUGGUUUUUAGCUUAAAAGACCAUUUCUGUCCAUUAAUGUUGGUAGUCAGUUGAAUCAAUUAUUUUUUCUACGUGUUUAAUCUUAAACAAAAUUAAAAAAACGGUUUGUUUGGGGAAGGCUGUUAUUUAUUUUUAUUAAUUUUGAAAAAGUCGCGGUAAAAUCCCGGACAACUGUCAGCAGCUGGAGUCACUGUCAGUCGCGCUUGCACGCCGCCGUAGCUUAUUAAACUCCGGUCACUCACUUCCGCUCGUCUUCCGCCGGAAACGCCCUUUUUUUUUUGCUCGAUCAAUAAAAAUUAAAGUUAAAAAAAAAAGAAAAGAAGAAGAACGUUUCUGAAUUACCAAUCAGCUCUUCAACUUCCAUUGGCCACAGCAGUACAGAGCACUGUGUCUCUCUACUUUCUCUCUCUACACACUCUCUCGUAUACUUUCUCUCUCUAUACAGAGAGAAACACAGCACGAGAGCUCUCUGUUGGUAUUUUUUACGGACGUACACGCGGUUGUGUAGGCGUAGAUUCCUUUGCCCCCACUGCGUCAUAUAAUUUUAUCAAUAAAUAAAUGCCAAAAAGCUCUCUCUCUCCCCGCUGAAACCGCAUUUAUACACAGAGAGAGGGCCUAUUCCUAACGUUUUCCUCAUUUUUAUGUGCUGCUUUGGUUUGCCUAUAUUCACUCCUCCUCCGGGGAUCUCAGCCGUCCUCCGCCGCUCUUGCGAGAAUUCACCGGCUCAGCUGUCACCGGCAAGUUUCUCUCUUUGCUUUGGUAUUUAUUUCUGCUGAAAUUUUAAGCUGUUUUUUGUUUGUAAAGUUGGAAACUUUGCUGUGAUGGAAUUGAUGGGUUUUGAGUAUGUUGAUUUUGUGCGGAUUUUGAGGGCAUAAGUGGGUAAUUUGUGGAUUUUGGGCAGAUGGGCAGAUGGGCAGCUGUUGUUUUAGCCCAGUGCAUACGUGGUCUACAGUGUACUGCUUUUGGAUUUCUGGGGAACCUAUAGAGAAUAAUUGCCAGAAAGAUAUGGUCUUGUAGUGUAAACUUAUUGAUUUCUGGGUGAAAUCGAAGGUUUCAUAUCUGGGUUUGUUUUAAUUCGUUGAAUUGGGGAUUUAUAUCUCGUGGAAUUGGACUAUUGGCGUUAUAAAAUUCUGGAGUUUUUGUGGAAUUUGGAUUUAUGGAGGCUUUUGGAGGCAGAGCUCGGAAUUUCUAUGGUACGAUGGUGCCGGAUUUGAAGGGGGCUGGGAAAAAGAGUUUGGAAUGGGAUUUGAAUGAUUGGAAAUGGGAUGGUGAUCUUUUUACCGCUAGUCCUUUGAAUGCUGUACCAUCUGAUUGUAGGAGCAGGCAGUUGUUUCCGCUUGGGCUGCCGGAAACUCCCUCCACUGCUGGUUUGUCCAACAGUUCUUCUUCUGGUUCGGACGGUAUCUGUCCAGGGAAUGAGAAAGGUAAAAGAGAGCUGGAGAAAAGAAGAAGGGCUAGUUUUGUAGAAAAUGAAGGGCUAACUGAUGAAGUUGGGUCUCUUAAUCUCAAGCUUGGCGGGCAAGCUUACCCAAUCAUGGAAGGAGAGGUACAACAUGGGAAGAAGACGAAGAUAGUUGGGACUACUUUAAACCGAGCAGUUUGUCAGGUGGAGGACUGUAAGGCUGAUCUUAGCAAUGCCAAGGAUUACCACCGACGACAUAAGGUCUGUGAUAUGCAUUCUAAGGCAACUAAAGCGGUGGUGGGAAAUGUUUUGCAGCGGUUCUGUCAGCAGUGUAGCAGGUUAGUUCAAUUCUAUGGUUGUCCUUGUAUGGUGAGAAAUAUUUCAAAUUUUCUUCAGUUAAGUUCUACGUCGUUUAUUCGGUGCUUUCUUAUAGACAUUGUUUCUAGAAGAUGAAAUACAGAGUUUGAUUUGUAAGUUUUAAAAAAAUUAUUUGUUGCUCUCAUGAUUUGGGUCCAUAGUUGUUCAUCACUGUGUUUGGUAUAGUCGAAUUUUGAAGAACUUUUUUGUUGAAUUUGGAAUGUGGUUAUACUUAUGGGCAGGUUUCAUGGCCUUCAAGAGUUUGAUGAAGGAAAGAGAAGUUGUCGUAGACGUUUGGCAGGCCACAAUAGGAGGAGAAGAAAAACACAUCCUGAUACUGUAGUUAAUGGAGGCUCAUUGAAUGAUGAAAGAGGAAGCAGUUAUCUAUUGAUUAGUUUGCUGAGAAUACUCUCCAACAUGCACUGUAAAUCUUUGUGUUAUUGCACAUUCAAUUUUUGGCUGCUUUGCCUGACAUUAAAUUGAUAUGCUAAGUGUAUGUUAAGUGGUUACCGGAUUGUGUGUUGAUUGCCAUAGACUGAUGUCAAAGUUCUUGUGGUCUUUUGCUCUUAGGUUUUGUCAUUAUUUGAUUGAGGCUUGUAGCAAAAUGAUUAUGUCAAUUAACAUUUAAUAACUCCACUCAUAAAUUUUUAUUUGUAAACAUACAACAUAUUACUUGAUGAGUCCUUAACUGCUUAAGGUGCUCUAUUUUUGUGUAUAAAUGACAAAGUGCUAGUUUCUCUGAAUUUAAUUUGAUGAAAAUUUGAAUAUUGAUGCUUACGCAUGAAAAGUUUUCAGUUUUUCAGAGGUUGAUUUGAUAGAAAGUUAGAAUUUUGUGCAGACCUUCAUGUCGAAAAAUAUUUCAAUUUUUAUAAUCCAGAUUACACCUUGUGUGCUUGAAUUUCAUCCCUUGAACCCUUGUUUUUUGCACUUUCUUUCUCUGAUUGUUGGACUGUCCAUAUUUCACAUUCUAGGAUGCAUGAAGGAAGGGCCUAUUAAAGGGAAUUCUAAUUAGGAAUUGUUAUUUAGGAAAUUAUGUCUCAGUGAUCAUGUUAUUAUAAUAUUUAUUUGAUUAUGUUUGUGUUUGUUUUUCUUCUCAUAAGUGUCUUACUCAACUCCACUUUUGAUGCCUAAAAUGCAGCUAAUAGUUCAGAUCAAACAAAGGAUCAGGAUUUGCUAUCUCAUCUUUUGAAGAAUCUAGCCAAUCUUUCUGGUACAGUUGAUGGAAGAAACAUGUCUGCAUUGCUUACGGCAUCUCAAGGUUUAAUAAAUGGCGGGGCAUCAAUUCAGACUGCACAAAAGGUCCCAGAUACAGUUUCCAACGGCUGUGAACCAAGUAAGCCUUCUGUUUCAGCCUCUAAAAUGGAUGAUUAUAUUAAUGGUGAGGACCCUUCAAGACCUAUACGACAGUGUUCUACGGUACCUGCAUCAGAUUUCAGGAGAAUAUCUUCAGUUGAUGCAGAUCAUGGAGGUCUACAAGUUGUUUCAGGUCUAAAUGCCACGAAGCCAUUUCCUUCAAGAGACAGUGUUCCAUCCACAUCAGUUGCACCAGAAGCUACAAUGGGGAGGAUGCAGUUAAAUGGCAUUGAUUUAAAUAAUACAUAUGACGAUUCCCAGGACUAUUUGGACAACCUAGGGAAUUCGCAUGCCCCUGUAAAUUCAGGGACAGUGGCUCAUGGUUUUCCCUUUUGGAUGCGUCAGGAUUCGCAAAAGUCUAGCCCACCUCAGACAAGUGGGACUUCAUGCUCAACUUCAUCAAGUUCUAGUGGAGAUGCUCAGGUAUAUUCUUGUUGUACUUGCAUCUCGUUCCUCGUUAUUGCUUGGUAUAUUAAUGCUUGUAUAUGCCAUAACCUGUCCUUUUCUGUUGGAUAAAAGAAUAGCUUUGUUCUCACUUUAAUUUGGCAUUUAGGUGACAAUGCUUUGCAUUCGACUUGUCCGUUUGUCUAGCCAAUUGAUUGAAAAAACAUGAAGUACUCGGCAUACCUAAUAAAUACUUCUGUUGUGACGUAAGAGUCAAGAUGGAUUCUCUUCUUUUGUAUAGUGCUUUGUAUGUAUAAAUGUGUGCGUAUGCUUCUGCUUGAUAAGGUUUAUAGAGUUGUAGUUAAACUACAGGAGGUUGCAGGCUAUAUCAGUUAGAGUUGAGUAUUUUUUAAAUAUUUUUUAUUAUGAAGGCCAGUGUGUAAAAUGUUACUGCACUGUUACGUCUCUUAACCACUCUUUUUCUGCCGUGUUUCAGAGUCGCACAGACCGUAUUGUUUUUAAACUCUUUGGAAAAGAUCCAAAUGAUCUUCCAUUUGUUCUACGAGCACAGGUAAUAUUUGGUGCCUUGAUUUAAUUCUUCACAAUGUAACUUGUGUUUCCUUGCACAUACAACAAUUUUAUGAAAUAUUUUGAAUAUCCAGAUUCUCAACUGGUUGUCCCACAGUCCUACUGACAUUGAAAGCUACAUAAGGCCGGGAUGUAUCAUUUUGACAGUUUACCUCCGUCUAGAAAAAUCCACGUGGGAGGAGGUAUGUUUCUGUGCUGAUGCCAAAAUGUUGAUUGCUGACCUUGUAUCAGGGAGAUCUCUUUUCUUGUCCUUAAUUGUUAUGUUUGCCUGCAGCUCUGCUGUAAUCUGGGAUCCAUUAUAAAACAACUUUUACAUGCUGCCAAUGAUCCUUUUUGGACAACAGGAUGGGUGUAUACUAGGGUGCAACAUUCUGUAGCAUUUACGUACAAUGGUUUGUUCUCUCUCUCUCUCUCUCUCUCUCUCUCUCUCUCUCUCUCUCUCUCUCUCUCUCUCUCUUAAUUAUUCAUUCAUAUAUUUUCUAGCUCAUUUAGUGAUUUACCAAUAGUUGUGUUAUGAAAGAAAAGACAUUUUAAAUAGUUAUGUCUGUACUGCAGGUCAAGUUGUCUUAGACACACCCUUACCUCUGAAAAGCCAUAAAAAUUGCAAGAUAUCAUGCAUCAAACCAAUUGCAGUUUCUUUAUCCGAAAGAGCUGAAUUUGUAGUAAAGGGGUUUAAUCUUUCUCGUGCCACCACAAGGUAUCCUUAUCUUUCAUUCAAGCUUCAUUAUGUAGACCACUCCAGUGUCAUAUGUUAUUUCUGAAUUAGUAACUAUCAGGAUAACUGGGAAGGAGGAAAGUACUAAGUCCUAGCUUGUGACAGGUUGCUCUGUGCUCUGGAAGGGAAGUAUCUAGUCCAAGAAACUUGUUAUGACUUGAUGGAUGGUGCUGAUACAACCUUUGCGAAUGAUCAGCUACAGUGCCUCAGAUUCUCCUGCUCUAUACCCAAUGUUACUGGCCGAGGACUCAUUGAGGUGCUGUUCCAUUCUUAAUAUAUGUUUUAUAUUUCCUUUGAAGUGUGCUUAUCAUUACUUAUUUAUUUAUUUUUAUUUCAGGUUGAAGACCAUGGUCUCAGCGGCUGCUUCUUUCCAUUUAUAGUUGCCGAGCAGGAAGUAUGUUCAGAGAUUUGUACCCUGGAGGGUGCGAUUGAGGUGGCUGAGACUGCAGAUAACAUCCAGACAGAACCUGAAAAGUUGGAAGCCAAGAACCAAGCGUUGGACUUUGUACAUGAAUUGGGUUGGCUCCUUCACAGAUGUCACACUAAAUUUAGACUUGGUCACGGGGAUCCCAACUUAGAACUAUUUUCUUUUAGACGGUUCAGGUUGCUUAUGGAGUUUUCCAUGGACCGUGAUUGGUGUGCUGUAGUGAAGAAACUCCUGGGCAUUCUGCUUGAGGGUACCGUUGACACUGGAGAACAUCCUUCUAUUGAGCUUGCGUUAUUGGAUAUGAGCCUCCUCCACGGAGCCGUGCAAAGAAAGUGCAGGCCUAUGGUGGAACUCUUGUUAAGAUUUGUCCUAGACAAAGGGUGGCAACAAGUUGACGGGGACGGCAGCAACUUCUUAUUUAAACCCGAUGCAGUUGGGCCCAUGGGAUUGACUCCUCUUCAUGUUGCAGCCAGUACUGAUGGAUGUGAGAAUAUAUUGGAUGCCUUAACUGAUGAUCCUGGAAAGGUAAUUUCUCAUUGUCUUCUUUGACAGUUUUCUUUCUAAUUGGAUGUAAAAAUCAGAACAGGUCUGCAUCAUUAUCCAUUUUUCUCCGUACGUGUUUGACCGUUUGCUCAUACAAAUGACUCAUGUCAGCUCAUUCUGUGUCUCACAUGAAUGUUGAUAUUUCAAAUCGUUGUAUUUUCAAGCAUACAAAUGUUGAUAUCUUUGCUUCUUUAGGUGGGAAUUGAAGCGUGGAAAAAUGCUCGAGACAGUACAGGAUUGACACCAAAUGAUUAUGCAUGCCUGCGAGGCCGCUACACCUAUGUCCAAAUUGUCCAGCGGAAAAUCAACAAGAAACAUGAAAGCGGGCACGUGGUGCUUGAUAUCCCUGGCGUUAUCUUAGACAGCAGCAGCAAGCAGAAACAAUUAGAUGGGCAUAAGUCCUCAAAAGUCUCCAUCUUGGAGACCGAAAGGAUCGAUAUGAAAGCAAUGCAGGCACAUUGCAAGCAAUGUGAAAUGAAACUAGCAUAUGGAAACACAAGGUCGUUUGUGUACAGGCCGGCAAUGCUGUCAAUGGUAGCCAUUGCUGCUGUCUGUGUUUGCGUGGCCUUGCUCUUCAAAAGCUCGCCUGAAGUCCUUUAUGUCUUCCAGCCCUUCAGGUGGGAACUCUUGGAGUAUGGACCGAGCUAAGGCAGUUUACGCGUCUCAAAUUUUAGUUACUCUGGCUUUAGGCCGUUUGUGUUAAUCAUAUGUAUAAACGGAUAACUCAAAUUUUAGUUACUCUGGCUUUAGGCUGUUUCUGUUGAUCAUAUGUAUAAACCGAUAACUCUAUAGGGAACAUAAUGUACCAGUUUUCGUAUCCGUUAAGAUUUCCACGAGAGGUGUUGCACUGUAUGUAUUAAUGAUAGUUCAUAUAAAGCGUGUAUAGGGAAAGAUUGACGUAAAUAGUACUAUUGACCAAUUGUUGAGGCAAUAGAUUGCUGCAUUACUUCCAAAAACACAUACAAACAUUGUAUUCGAUGAGGCGGAAGAUUCGGACUUGAAAAUUCUUUCGCUUUUAAGUCAGCUUUCUUAAACAGAAGACAAUAUUUAGUAGGGCGGCCUGACUAAUAAUUUCUUUCGCUUUUAAGUCAGCUUUCUUAAACAGAAGACAAUAUUUAGUAGGGCAGCCUGACUAAUAAGUAGGUUAGACUACUCUUGCUAAAUUUUAUGCAUUGAGAGUUGUAUUUACGUAAGACUGGAUGGUGACCAAAUACAUAGAAUCACGUUCCUUCAUGAGGGGAUAAGGCUGUCUCACAAAGGUUGGAGCUUUGUGCUUACUUAGAUACAUGAAUCUCGUUCUUUCGUGAGUCAACUUUUCAGGUUAUUCAACUCAAAUGUUAUGAAUAAAAUUGGGCCAAAAUUAGAUCAAACAGUUGUUUUUCUCCAAAUAUUUUUAAUUUGGUCAAAUGCAUGAAUCUCGUUCUUUAGUGAGAUAACUUUUCAUGUUAUUCAACUCAAACGUUAUGAAUAAAAUUGGACCAAAAUUAGAUCAAACAGUUGUUUUUCUCUAAAUAUUUUUAAUUUGGUCAAAUCCAAUCCGAGUCUAAUAUUAACUAGCAAAAAAAAAAGCAGAAAAAUGGAUUUUACAGGCUAAUAAAAUAAUAGGAAAAGGACUCCAGUCACAGAGACACGUUGACUCAUAUUUUGACAUGAAAUUGUUUUCCACUUCAACAAGUCAUAUUCAUGGUCCUUACAUAGUGUACACAAUUAUUACCUUGUUUAAUCUUUUUCAAUUAUUUUGUCGUUUUGAACCUUUUUUCUUUGGUUUAAUUGCCAAUAAUUCAAGCAUUAAAUCUUGAUCUCGAAAUGGAACAAUUUUCCGGUGUACUAAGAUCACGUUCACGUAAAAUUACUGGUUCAUUUAAAUUAUAUUACGUAGAUUUGUUAAUAUUAAGUUUAGGUUAAAUCUCACAAUAAUUAGUAAUAAUAUGACGAGAAUUAAACUUGAAAUAUAUCACUUAUAAUAAAAUAAAAUAUCAUUAGUUUAAAUAUUAAAAUGAUACACCUCGUAACUUGUAACGCUGUUAAUUUCUAAUCGAAAUCAAAAGGAGACGCGUCAUUUGAGGCCACCACCUCUCUCCUCUCACUCUCCCCACUGAAACCGAAUUUACACAGUAAGAGAACCCUUUUCCUAACCUUUUCCUAAUUUUCAUGUGCUGAUUAGCUUUGUCUCGGGGCCUAUAUUCUCUCUGCCUCAACUGCGAUCUCAGCCACUUCUUCGUCAGCUCUCAGUUCUCAGCUCAUCUCCCAACAAUUCACCAACCUGCCGGCAAGUUUCUCUCUCUUUACUCUCUCGCUCUCCUCUUUAUUUCCACAAAAAAAGAUUGGGUCUUUCAGUUCUUUCAGCUCAAGUUUCUUUCCAUGGAGUUGAAAGCAUUGACUAGGAUGUAAUUGUGGGCUUGCAAAUACGGUAUUUUGUACUGACUUGUUGAGAGAAAAACUGGGUAAUUGGUGGAUUUUGGGUUCUGGGCAGCUGUAGCCUGUAGUUUAGCUCCAUUUUUAUGCUGGUGUGCUGUUCUUGGUUUUCUGGGGUUCUUGGAAAGAACAAUUUCCAGAAAUUUCUGGGGCUGUGGUGUUAUUGACUUUUUGUUUUGGGGUGAAAUUUAUAGUUUUAUCUCUGAGCUGUAGUUGUUGUUAUUGUUCAAUUGGGUGUUUGUAUCUGGUGGAGUUUGACUAGGGGGCAUUGUAACAUCUCUGGGUUUUUUGUAUCUUGAUCUAUGGAGUCUGAAUUCGGAGGAAAGGCUUGUAAUUUUCGUGGUGUGAUGGUGCCGAAUUUGAAGGGGGUUGGGAAAAAGAGUUUGGAAUGGGAUUUGAAUGAUUUUAAAUGGGAUGGUGAUCUUUUUACUGCUAGUCCAUUAAAUUCUACACCAUCUGAUGGUAGGAGUAGGCAGUUGUUUCCGGCCAGGCCAGAAACUCCGUCGGAUGCUGGUUUGUCCAACAGUUCUUCUUCUGGUUCGGAUAAUAUCAGUCCGGGGAAUGAGAAAGAUCAAAGAGAAUUGGAGAAACGGAGAAGGGAUUUUUUUGUGGAAAACCGAGAGUUGAAUGAUGAAGCUGCGUCUCUGAAUCUUAAACUUGGCGGGCAAACUUACCCCAUUAUGGAAGAAGAAGUACAAACCGGGAAGAAAACAAAGACAAUUGGGACUACUUCAAACCGUGCAGUUUGUCAGGUGGAGGACUGUAAGGCUGAUCUUAGCAAUGCCAAGGAUUAUCACCGGAGGCAUAAGGUCUGUGCUAUGCAUUCUAAGGCAACUAAAGCGCUGGUUGGAAGUGUUAUGCAGCGGUUCUGUCAACAGUGUAGCAGGUUGGUUCCAUCCUAUUGUUAUUUAUUGUUUGGUUGAAACAUUUCCCCGAUUUUCUUGAAUUAACUUGAAAUACAGAGUUUGGUUGUGUAAAUUUUGUUGUCAUGCGUUUGUUGUGCAUGGCUGUUCAUCAAUCUUCUUACGGUAUGGUUGAGUUCUGCAGAAGGUUUUUUUUGUUGAAUUAAAUGUAACAGGGUUAACACUCGUGGACAGGUUUCAUGCUCUUCAAGAGUUUGAUGAAGGGAAGAGAAGUUGCCGUAGGCGUUUGGCUGGCCAUAAUAGGAGGAGAAGAAAAACACAUCCUGAUACUGCAGUUAAUGGAGGCUCUUUAAACAAUGAAGGCGGAAGCGGUUAUCUAUUGAUUAGCUUGCUGAGAAUACUUUCAAAUAUGCACUGUAAGUACUUGCCUUAUUCAUUGUACACUUCUGUCUUAGUGAAACAUUGUAUCUCAGAUUUAUUUGAAUCCGCAUAUUAUGCCAUUUAUAAAUUGCAGCUAGUAGUUCUGAUCAAACAAAGGAUCAGGAUGUCAUAUCUCAUUUGUUGAGGAGCUUAGCCAAUGUUGCUGGUACGGCUGAUGGAAGAAACAUAUCUACAUUGCUGCAGGGAUCUCAAGGUUUAUUUAACAGUGGGACAUCUGUCCAGACUGCACGAAGGGUUCUAGAUAUGAAUGCUGGUGUUAAUACUGAGGACCCUUUAAGGUCUAAAGGACACUGUUCGAUACUACCUGCAUCAAGAGACAGUUCUGAAUCCAAAUCAGUUACACCGGAAGCUACAAGUAGAAGGUUCCAGUUAAAUGAUUGAUUUAAAUAGUACAUAUGAUGAUUCACAGGACUAUGUAGAGAACCUAGGGAAUUCUCAUGUUCCUGCAAGUCCAGGCACUGCAUCUCUUGGUUUUCCUUCAUGGAUGCAGCGUGAUUCUCAUAAAUCAAGCCCACCUCAGACAAGUGGGAAUUCAGACUUAACUUCUACUCAGUCACCGUCAAGUUCUAGUGGAGAAGCUCAGGUAUAUCCUUGUAAUUGCAUCUAUUCCAUAAUUGCUUGGUAAUAUAAUGCUUAAAAAUGCCUUUGUCGUGGAUGAUGCUCAGCCCACUGUAAUUCGUCUUUUUUUUAAUCUUUUUUUCCAUGAGACCAGGGAUUAAUAUAUCAAUUGUCAUUAAUCAUUAUACGGCGUAUAACUUGUCUUUUGUUUGGAUAGUAGAAUACCUUUGUUCUAUCCUUGAGAGUAGUUAGGCAGUCAUGUAUUGUGUUCUGAACGUGUCUGUGUAUCUUUCCAUGGAUUGUCAAAAUAAUGGCGAGGUUAAGUGCGCUCGCUGCUUGGUUAUGGGAUAUAUGUAAGAAAUGCUUCAAUUGUGACUUAAAGUUGAGAUCAGUUAUCUCUUCCUUCAAACCAAUAUGGCAGUUUACAAGCGCAACCACACACACAAACAUACUUGUUGUGUAUACGUCUUCUUGAUGCUGUUAAUAGAAUUGAGGUUAAAGUUACCUGGUGGUUUCUGCAGUCCUAAUGGAACAUGCAUUAUUUAUGUAAAAGGCCAGUAUGUAGAAUGUAUCUGCAAUUUUACGUUUCUUGACUGCUCUUUUUCUGCCACAUAUCAGAGUCACACAGACCGAAUUAUUUUUAAACUAUUUGGAAAAGACCCUAAUGAACUUCCACUUGCUCUGCGAUCACAGGUACUAUAUUUCCUUUGAUUUUUCUAGUUUUCAAAGUACUUUUCAAAGUAUUUUGGUGUUUCAUUCCACGGACUCCAUGAUUUUUAUAAAUUAUUUGAAUAUCCAGAUCCUCGACUGGUUAUCUCACAGCCCUACCAACAUUGAAAGCUACAUAAGGCCGGGCUGUAUCAUUUUGACAAUUUACCUUCGUCUAGAAAAAUCCACGUGGGAGGAGGUAUUCUCGACUGUGGAUGGCAGAUCCUUGUAUGAGGAAGACUUUUUCUUCAAGUCCUUAAUUUUGACAAUUCACCUCUCCCAGACCCUGAUUAAAGCGGGAGCCUUGUGCACUGGGUACGACCUUUUUUUUUAUAAUUAUUUUUGCUUACAGUUCUGUUGUCAUCUGGGAUCCAGUUUGAAAACACUUCUUGAUGCUGCGGAUGAUCCUUUUUGGAGAACAGGAUGGGUGUAUACAAGGGUGCAAGAUUAUGUAGCAUUUACAUACAAUGGUUUGCCUCUCUCUCUCUCUCUCUCUCUCUCUCUCUCUCUCUCCCCCUCUCAUUUCGUGUGUGCGUACACAUUUGUGUAUUUAGGGUCUAUAGAAGAAUCUUGCUGUUUUAGUUUUCCAUUAUGCUUUAUUGAUUUUGGUCAUGCUUUGUUUUGUUAUUUCUAGUACAUAAUGAGGAUUGACCAAAAACAUUAACCUUAUAUGAGAGAAGCAUUUUGAUUAGUUAUGUCCAUCCUGCAGGUGAAGUUGUGUUAGACACACCCUUGCCUCUUAAAAGCAAUAAAAGUUGCAGGAUAUCAUGCAUCAAACCAAUUGCGAUCUCCUUAUCUGAGAGAGCUGAAUUUAUAGUAAAAGGCUUUAACCUUUCUAGUUCCACCACAAGGUUCUUUCAUCUUUCAUUCAUGCGUCAUUACUUUGUUUUCAAUAUUCCUCUCUAGUUUUAUAGGAUAACAGAAGAAAUACUAAAUUCUAGAUCUUGAGUCUUGACAGGUUACUCUGUGCUCUAGAAGGGAAGUAUCUGGCUCAAGAAACUUGUUAUGACUUGUUGGAUGAUGCGGAUAGCACUGUUGAGGAUGACGAACAACAAUGCCUUAAAUUCUCCUGCUCUAUACCAAAUGUUACUGGGCGAGGAUUCAUUGAGGUGCUGUCAUAUUCCUAAUUGUCCCUUUCCCCCUUCCUCCUCUUGUAAUGUGCAUUUUGAACGAGCCGUAUUUUAUAAGUCCGGAAUUUGUUUAUAAAUCUUCUUAUGAAUACUGAGUAUAGAUUUGUUUCUAGACAGCGCCUUAACUGAAAUCCACGGUUCUCAUUUUAUUGGUCAAAUUUAUGUCAGGUUGAAGAUCAUGGUCUCAGCAGUAGCUUCUUUCCAUUUAUAGUUGCAGAGCAGGAAGUAUGCUCUGAGAUUUGUAUGCUGGAAGAUGUGAUUGAGGUGUCCGAGACUGAUGAUGAUAUCCAAUCUGGACCUGAAAAAGUGGAAGCUAAGAACCAAGCCUUGGACUUUAUACAUGAAUUGGGUUGGCUCCUACAUAGAAGUCGCGUUAAGUUUAGACUGGGUCAAUUGGAUCCCAAUCUAGAUACAUUUCCCUUUAGACGGUUCAGAUUGCUCAUGGAGUUCUCCAUUGACCAUGAUUGGUGUGCUGUGGUGAAGAAACUCUUGGGCAUUCUGUUUGAUGGUACUGUCGACGCUGCAGAGCAUCCUUCCCUUGAGUCUGCACUACUGGAUAUGGGCCUCCUCCACAGAGCUGUGCGAAUCAAUAGCAGACGUAUGGUGGAAUUCUUGUUAAGAUUUGUCCCAGGUUUAACAGGAUCUGAGCAGAAGGAACAAGUUGACAGGGACGGCAACAGUUUCUUGUUUAAACCUGAUGUUGUUGGGCCCAUGGGGUUGACUCCUCUUCAUAUUGCCGCCAGUACUGAUGGCUGUGAGCAAGUAUUGGAUGCCUUAACUGAUGAUCCUGGAAAGGUAAUAUCUCCGUUUUUUGAAUUGCAACAUAAUAUUUUUCUUCUAAUUCUAUGUAGAAAUCACUUUGCGCUGGCUACAACCUCCAUCCCAUCUCCAUACCCAUUUGAACUCUUGCGCCUACAGUUGACCUGUGUCUGUUCUCAUACUGUUUCACACACGUGUUUUGAUGAUUUUAACUCAUUCUAAUUUCCAGCAUGUCAGGUUGCUCACGGAUUUUAGAUCUGUAAUCAUGUCUUCUUUGACUUUGAGCUCUCUCUUUAGCUUUUCCACUGUCUUCUGCCUAAACAAAAUACACUGAUUCCAGUUAUUGAGUUGUAUUUCAAAUUCUCAAUUAACCAAUCCUAGACAAAUUAUGCAGUCUUGUAUUUUCUUUGGCUUGCGAAACAUAUGAAACAUAAAUCACCGUAGAAAAGUUAAAUGCGCCAUUCAAAUUGGUAAAGAAAGCAGCACCCCACAUCUAAAUGCAUGCUAACUCUUUCACAGCUGAAAGCGGCACCCAAAUUCUACAUUCAACUUGAAAUCAAAUAGGACUGCUGUUAAAAUUUUUGACGAUAAAUGAAUUAUGAUUCUUUUCAUCGUUCUAGUUUCAACUUUCAAGCAUGUGUUUAGGACUGCUGUCAUGAAAUUUCUUUAGUGUCAGAUAAUCCAUUCAUCAAGUUGAUAUGGGCGUUUUUUUCUUUAGGUGGGAAUUAAAGCAUGGAAAAACACUCGAGACAGCACAGGAUUGACACCAUAUGAUUAUGCAUGCCUUCGAAGCCGCUACUCCUAUGUCCAUAUAGUCCAGCGGAAAAUCAGCAAUACACUGGAAAGCGGGCAUGUGGUGCUUGACAUCCCUGGCCUCACGUUAGACAGAAAUGGAAAGCAGAAGCAAUCGGAUGCGCAUAAAUCAUCAAGAGUAGCCAGCUUGGAAACUGAAAGGAAUGAUAUAAAAGCAAUCUUACGACACUGCAGGUUAUGUGAACAGAAACCAGCUUAUAGCACCACACGGUCACUUGUAUACAGGCCGGCAAUGCUGUCAUUGGUGGCUGUCGCUGCUGUCUGCGUUUGCGUGGCCUUGCUCUUUAAAAGCAAUCCGGAAGUUGUUUUCGUGUUGGAGCCAUUCCGGUGGGAACACUUGAAGUUUGGUUCAAGCUAAGGUUAUAGUUUACGUGUAUUAAUUUAUAGUGACUCUGGUUAUACAUAGACCAUUUCUUUUCACGUGGAUAGGAGUAUAUUUUCUAUCUGAUUUUUAUAUGUAUAUCUAGGGCCACUCAAGCCAACAAGACUCUUCGCAUUGCAAUGGUCGGAACGUCUAUCGUAUCUGUAUUUGUAUACCUAAGCUUCCAAAAUAAACAUGGGCUGUCAUGGAUUUUGGUCCACCAGGUUUGAUUGUAUUUGUAUUUGUAUAACAGUGUUACAAACUGGAUGACACAUAAUUUCUCUGUUUGAUAUUUCUUUUUUUUUUUUCAAAAUAAACAUUUGGCACGAGGUGAUUCGGUGUUCGAUUAUUAGUGCAUUUACUGUAUAAAUUAAAUUUUAAUUUUAGAAAAUUCAGCAUUUUUGUUGGUUAUAUUGGAGGAAAUCGAACUUUGGUCUACUCUAAUUCUAACUUAUUACCAUACCCUCCUCCAUUAUUUGAGCUCAUAUAAGCAUAAGCACACUAAACAAGGUUAAGUAUAGAAGAAUUUGGGAAUUGAGAAUUAUUGUUUGAGCAUUAUUUCAUGUUUAGUGCAAAUUGAGGUUGAAUUAUUUUCUAAUUUUAUUAGUUUAAUCAUUUGGAUGAAUUUGUUCAUGCUUCCAUAUGAAAUCAUUAUUUUAUUAAAAUAAUUUAUUAAUAGUUCGAGAAAAACUUAAAUGGAGGUGCUCACGUCAUUCAUCACGCAUUCACAUUCACAUUCGUUACACGUUUCUCAUAAAAACAUAAAACUCUUUCAAAUGAAUAGGUUUCACUGAAUUUGGAUAAUAUCCGACUUUACAUAAGUACAAGUAUCAAUGCACAUGAUUCCAACCAGUAAUUAUUAUCUUAUUUGAAUUACUUACCCCGAAUCAGACCUGAAAAAGUGUAAUUUAUUCAAAUUUUAUUUUCUGAAAUUCAAAAAAAUAAAAUAAAAUUUGAGGAUAAGAAAAUAAAGGGUAAAGAGGUCAUUUGCAUGCCCUGCCUCCUAAAAUCCACCUCACUACUCACUACCCCGUCACUGCUCUAACAAUUUUGCAGGCCAAAGCCAUCCAUGGCUUCUUCAAUCUCUCUCUCCUUCUCUUCCUCUCUCCUCCCUCAUCCUCUUCCUUUCAACAAAUACUCCACCGCCACCGCCGCCGCCUCCCAGAAAUCCCAAUACCCCAACUUUAAGCUGCUCCUCCGCGCAUUCGCCAACCCAGCUGUAAGCCGUCGCUCCACUCCAUCUCCGUCUUCCGACACCAGAAAGAGGCACUGGAAGAAAGGUGAAUACCCAGGCGUCUCGGAGACGUCGGCUCCGGCGAAUUACAGAAAAACCCCUGGUCGUUCCACUUCAUCUGAGUCUUCCGACACCAGAAAGAAGCACUGGAAGCGAGGUGAGUUCCCGGGCGUCUCGGAGACGUCGACUCCGGCGAAUCACAGAAAAACCCCUGGUCGUUCCACUUCAUCUGAGUCUUCCGACACCAGAAAGAAGCACUGGAAGCGAGGUGAGUUCCCGGGCGUCUCGGAGACGUCGACUCCGGCGACUUACAGAAAAACCUCCGCUCGUUCCGCUUCAUAUCCGUCUUCCGACAACAGAAAGAAGCACUGGAAGCAAGGGGAGUUCCCGGGGGUCUCGGAGACGUCGAUUCCGGCUAUUUAUAGAAAACCCCCUUUGAAAAAUGUGAAGAAGAAGCUGGACCGGAAGAACAAUGCCAAGGCCUGGGUCAACACCGUCACGGAGGCCCUGUCAGACGCCAUUGACAAGAAGCAGUGGCUCCAAGCUCUUGAGGUUUUUGUCUUAAUCUAAACAAAAAUUAACAAAUUUUUCAUCUUUUUUCUUAUGUGUUUUUAGUUUGGUGAAUGUAAAUUGAUGCAAAAUUUAAAAAAAUGGUAUUUUUAUGCUUACCAAUUUAGUUUCUUGAACCAUGUUCUUGAAAAAUGUGAUCUUUUUAGCUGAAUGAUUUUAGUGGAAUUAUAAUUAAUUGGGUGUUUUUGUUUGGAAAAUGUAUGAUGAAAUUGGGUACUAUUACGUUCAGGUGUUUGACAUGCUUAGGGAACAACCAUUUUAUCAACCGAAAGAAGGGACUUACAUGAAACUCAUUGGUAUGCUUGGAAGGUGCGGCCAACCCAAUCGUGCCCGCCAGCUUUUCGAUACAAUGGUUGAAGAGGGCUGUGAACCAACUCUUGACCUUUACACAGCCUUGCUCGCGGCUUAUUGCCGGAACAAUCUGAUUGACGAGGCAUUUUCUGUUCUUAACCUGAUGAAGACUCUCCCGCAAUGCCAGCCUGACGUUUUUACUUACAGUACCUUGAUAAAGGUUUGCAUUGAUCAUUUGAAGUUUGAUUUAGUUGAGUCCUUGUAUGAGGAAAUGGCUGAGCGGUUGAUAGCUCCGAAUACAGUCACCCAAAACAUAGUGUUGAGUGGAUAUGGUAAGGCCGGGAAGUAUGACCAGAUGGAAAAAGUGUUGUCCGGGAUGCUGGAGGGUACAAGUUGCAAGCCUGAUGUCUGGACAAUGAAUGUUGUCCUUAGUGUGUUUGGAAACAAGGGUCAGAUAGAUAUGAUGGAGAGAUGGUAUGAGAAAUUCCGUGAUUUUGGGAUUGAGCCGGAAACUCGCACUUUGAACAUUCUGAUUGGUGCUUACGGGAAGAAAAGGCUGUAUGAUAAGAUGUCAACUGUGAUGGAGUACAUGCGCAAGCUUCAAUUCCCAUGGACAACCGCAACUUACAACAAUGUGAUAGAGGCUUUCGCGGACGUAGGAGAUGCAAAAAACAUGGAAUACACGUUUGAACAGAUGCGUGCUGAGGGCAUGAAAGCAGACACCAAAACAUUCUGCUGCCUUAUUAAUGGGUAUGCCAAUGCAGGCCUCUUCCAUAAGGUGGUUAGCUGCGUUCAGUUGGCUGGAAAGUUUGAGAUACCUGAGAAUACCACAUUUUACAAUGCGGUGAUAGCUGCAUGUGCAAAGGCAGAGGAUUUAAUGGAGAUGGAAAGAGUUUUCAACCGGAUGAAAGAGAAGCAAUGUCAACCGGAUUCCACAACAUACUCUGUCAUGGUUGAGGCAUAUAGUAAGGAAGGUAUGAACGACAAGAUCUACUACUUGAAGCAGGAGAUUGGUACUGAUGGUAAUCAAAGUGAUCAGAUUAGUGUUGAAGAAAAUCAAAGUGAUCAGAUUAGUGCCGAAGAGAAUCAGAGUGAUCAGAUUAGUGUGGAAGACAAUCAGAGUGAUCAGAUUAGUGAUGAAGGCAAUCAAAGUGAUCAGAGUAGUUUUGAAGAUAAUCAAAGUGAUCAGGCUUUUGGAGCUGAGUCUGGCGGUGUUGUCUAGUUGAGAUCUUUGGAGGCAACAGUAUGCUCCAAAAAUCCCUAAUCUCACAGGGCAAUUCCAUUCCCCGCAGUUCUUCUAAGGCAGCAGCAAACUCUUAUUGUGAAAUUGCCGAUCGAUCAGGUAAUCAAACAUUUCCAUUCUCGGAUGGGUGUUAGCAAUGCUGCUUCCUCCAAUUUUAUGUUUCUGGUGAAGGACUGUAUGGAUUGAUCUGAUAGACUGAUAACCCGGGUGAAACUUUAUGGAAAAUGAUUGUACAUACAGAGUUGAUAAGUGUCUCUCUCCAAACUUGAUGCGAUCUCUAAACUAGCAUGCAAAAUUGUACGACGAUUUGUAAGAGUGUUUAACUGUGUUCAACAGAGGAAUUGCUUUUUGUUAUUGCCUGAAAUGUUUUGAAUGUAACUUCACGUAUAUAUUGUCUGCAGCAGCUGCUGGACAAUCAUAGAAGGUGGUCUGUAAACACGUUGUUUUUGAAAAUUAAUCGCUCUUUUCGGUACAUUUUGUGCUGCUGUUGUUCGAAUGUUUUGGCACUUGAGGCAGACAAUUGAUCUGCAAUUAUCCCAAAAUGUAAGGGUCCAGCUCAACAAAACGCAGGGGUAAUUUGAUCAAAGAUGUAAGUUUUGUUAUAUUGACUUUUGAGUAGCAUUGGUAGUGUAAUAAACAAUAUCAGUAACGUUGAAUAAUAAUAAAUUUUACUUGGAUGCCGGCGUGUGUAGUAAGAAUAUGUCCAAAGUGGUUUGGACAACGACAUGAUGGUGCGUUAACUAAUAUGAUCUUAUCACGUGAUGAGAGAUAAAGGAGAGAUGAAUGUAUUCGUGACCUGGAGGUUAUUCUACACGUAAACUUGUAAAGAUAGGCAAACAGGGUGCUUUUUGGUUGAAACGAAAUGCUGAAUUGUUUACUCUUUCUUGUGUAAGAAGAGAAGACUUGUAUCGUAAUCAGGUACUAAUUGUUGUCUUUUGGUCCCACCUUACCUCACACUAUAAAUAAUGGCAUCUAAACCCGAUUAUUCACAGAGAAGCUUUCACAAAAGCAUAAAACUCUUAUAUUUUGGUUUCACUCGCCUCAAACUAGUCUCCCUCGUUGAAAUAGCUAACCUAGUUAGGAACUGUACACAAGUUUCUCUCGUAUCGAAGAAAGUCAAAGAAGUUUUUAGCUCACAAAAGCACAUAACCCCCUAUAUAUUCCAUUUGAAUCACCAUUUACAAAAUUUGUACUAACUUUCCAGUCGAAGAUAGGAUAGUUUCGACAAGUAUUGAACGGCUAAGAUAACUUUAUUUAUUACAUGAAUGGCUAAGAUUAAAAACAAGGGCACGUAGACGAAUACAAACAUCUUCAAUGAGAGGAUCCACCAUUUCUACCAUUGGAAAUUUAAUUUCCUUACAGAAUAGGCGAAAAGUGAAGCGAAAACAAUCGGGAAAGCAAUGAGAACAAUCGCCACGAGGAAUAAACGAUCGUGAUGGAAGCCAUAGUAGUCUUGAAGGAAGGAAGCAACUGUUUUCUGCUCCCCAAAAAUCAAAAUCUCUUUGUUCAUGUCUCCAUAUUGUGAACUGAGGAGGGCAUUUAGGGACCAUGAUGUAGGACAAAUCCAAUAGAACCAAAUCCACCACUUGGGAAUUUUCUGCAUAAAAUAUAUAGAACAUGGUCCGCUAGGCUCACAGUAAACCGUCAUAUUAAGGGUUUAUUUGGCACUGCUUCUUUAGAAAGAACUUUUGCUUAUAAAUUAUAAGCGCUUUUUCUGUAAGUUGUUUAAUAGAGUUAUGUUGCAAAAAAAGCAGUUGGGAGGGCUUCGCAUACUAAAAGCUCUUAAAGUUUUACUACAUAGUCUUUUGGCUUUUCUAGAAGCAGUCUCAAACAGGGCUAAAGACUAAAGAGAGAGUUAGAUUUAGUUACCGGCCCGAGCACAAGGAAGCCGGAAAAAAGAUUCAAUAUGGUGUAGAUUGCCGUUGCGAAAAUGGAAGCUACUUGCAGGCUUGUGCUAAAAGAAGCUAUCAGCAUCCCAAGGUAUACAAAUUAGAGAAAUGUAGAGAAUGUUGCAUGGAAGUACCAGAAAACCUUAGUAGCUGACCAAUAGUACCCUAUUGUAGGGUAUGUAAUAAUGACAUACAGAAUUGCUUGAACCACUUUGUAAGUUAUUUCAAUGGCCACCUACAACAACAUUCAAAAUUUCGACAUGUUAAAAACCUUUCCACUACAAGCUACGUUAUAGUACCAGUUAAAAUGUACGAACCUGUGCAAACGAAUGAGCGUUUGAUGAGUACAUCCCAGCAAAUCUUUCCCGGUACAGAACUGCGCGCUCAGUAGCCACGUAAGGCAGAACCGUCGAGCAAUUGGUUGUGCCCAAAAAUAUUACAGCAAUGUACAGUAACCCAAGCACGUUGAACAAAUCAUGCUCAUUGUUUCUUGAGGAACAAGAAAAACACAGGAUUUAGCGUUGUUGAGCAAAAAUUGUACAUAAUAUGUAAACAAAUAAUUCUCUCGACAUAAUUUCACCCUCGUUCAUUUUUCGAAGAGGGUUUUAUUAGUUUGAGUUUGAUUCAUUCUAGGUUACGCGCCUAUUAAUUACAACCUUUCUUUUGGGAAAGGAAUACCCUUUGAUUCUAAUAUGAAUAAAUCGUAAUUUGAGGAUUUGGGUGUUUAUUUGAUUUUGUGACUGUAUCUAGGUAGAGCCCUAGAUUGCCUACGUACCCUCGUUGAGGGAUCAAAUCACUCGUAGUUCCUUAUGUGUUUUGUUGGGGUUUGACGCCUUGUGCAGUUUCAGCUCAUGCAGAUGAGGAUUUUAAGCCGUUGGAGCUUUAAUAAAUUUGAUAUGGUUUUAUGCCAUUCUGAAAUUUGAUACGGCUUCGUGCCAGUUAACAUAGCUUCGUGCCACUUGAGAUUUUGUUGCGGCUUCAUGCCAUUUGAUAUUUGACUUUUUCUUCGGCUUUACGGCUUCGUGCCAUUGAAUUGGCUUUGAGCCAUUUGAGGCAGCUUUGUCCCAUUUAAAGUGGUUUUAUGCCGCUUAAACGUUGAGUAAAAUUAACAGGUUUAUUUCUGAUAAACCCACUAAUAUUUUGGCAUUUGACUCUGGCUUGGUACCAUUUCUUACUCCAUGUUUAAUUUUACUUUUCCUUUUUCGUUUGCCCUUUCUUCUGACAAAUUUGUAGAGAAUCAUGCUUGGAAUAAAAAAAAAAUUUCCUCUGUUCCUUCAUGGGAUUUACUCCACAAGGGUUUUGUUCAAAGCAGCAGAAGUGAAUUUAGUUUAUACAAACCAGGGAUUCAUCUUGAUUUCUUGGUUGCGUCUAAAAUUUGAUAUCAGACUGCCUACGUAUCCUUAACGGAAUCAAACCGGCGUAGUUCGUAACUUUUGAGACUCAUCGCGGCUUUGUGCCAUUUGAUACUUGAUAUGGAUUCGUGCCAUUUGAAGUUUGACGGAGCCUUGUGGCAUUUGUGUCUUGUAAAUAUUUGUGAUGAACCCACUUUUACAUUGGUAUUUGACUUUGUCUUCCUUUUCAUUUAUUUUGUCUUGGAACCCAUUUUAUUUUGCCUACAAGCCCGUCACUCUAUUGUUGCCCUUUAUUUUUUUGCAUGGUAGCACAAAAAAAAUCCUUGCUUUCAUAUGGAAAAUAUAAAAGCAAGAGUCAAAGCUCCUUUAUUUUUACCAAUGCCUUUUUCAAGCUUUUAAGUCCCUUGCUUUUCUUCUUUCUUUAUUUUUCUUUUGUCAUUGCCGUAUGUCUCCCUAAGAACAACUCCACUUUUGGAGCCCUUUCUCCAUGCAAUCCACUAUUCAAUCCACCAUGUAAACAGUAAUUACCCUUAAUAAACAGUAACUACUUUUGUAUCUCAACCCUUGCACUUGAAUACCCUUGGCAAUAGGCAAUAAAAUAUUAAUUUUUAUAAUUAAUAUUAUAUUAUUUAAUUUGUACAAAUUAAUAUUAUAUUAUUAAUUUAUCUUUUCCAAUCUCUUCCCGAAACUUCUACCAUUUUUGUUUUCUUCUUCCUUCCCACUCUCUCACUCCCCUCUCCCUCAUUGUCUUCUUUUUUUUCUCCGGCCGACAGUCUACCUCCCCUCUCUCUUUUUCUCCCCCAUUUCUCCCUGUUUUCUUCCUCAAACGAGGAAGCUGCGAAUUUUGAGAGAGAGCAGCACCGAACCCACCCGCCUCCCGCCAUGUCUAAAUCCACUGAUGUGUCUUUCUUCCUCCUCAUGGUCCUCUGCGGCCAGGCCCAAAGAGGCCGCCUGCUUCUUUCCGACUUCAACCAAUCAACGUCAUCCGAUCUGAUCUCCGAUAGAGUCCACCACCACCACCGGUCCCACACCCUGGCUCCCUACCUCACUCUCGAGAACGCCCUUUCGGCGGAAGACUCCACCUGCAAGCAGACCUACGUUUUCCUGCCUUGCACCACCACUGUGAUCGACAACCUUUCCUAAUUCCUGACAGAAAAAAAUUAAAAAAAAGGACUGACGCCAGCCUGACGUCAGCCCCUACUCGGGCUGGCAAUUCCUCAUAGACCCUUUGCUCGGGCCUUGGCUGCUGCUUGGGCUUGCUCACGCUGGAGCUGGUCGACAGGGCCUUGGGCUCUUUCUUCUCCCCCCGUCCCUCGAGCAGGAGCUUCCGCUAAAGCUGCUCUAAUGGUUCGAAGAUGAUGGAAUCCAAUUUGAAAUGGCACAAGUUAAAUUUCCAUAAAGAACUCCCAUAACUUUAUUGACCCCUACGUGAGCAACUUUCCAUGUGAGGUGCUGAUUUCAGUUAGCAUUCUUCUUUGAUCUUUUCAAACCCAUUUAAACAUGGGACUUCGAACCUAUCUGACCUAAACUUCUGACCAAUCUGAGAGCAAGCCUUACUCUUUUCUUUGUUUGACUUCAAAGGUCUCCAAAUUCCAAUAAGACUUUAUCCCAUACUUUAAAUGGGGGAACCAUGACUUUCUUUUGUCUUCCACGACUUUCUUUUGUCCUCCACGUGAGUGGUUUUCUUGCUAUGAAGUAAAAGAAGACCACAUCAACAUUUUUUUAACUUUACUUUUGAUUUGACAAAAGCUUUUUGGUCUGGAACUCUUCUUCUCUCCUUAUGAGUUUUAAACAUUUUUUUUUCUUUGUCUUCAACCUUGAAUUUAGCUUUGCCCAACAUUUGACAAUAACUUACUUCAUCUUUGAGGUGCCACGUAUUUAGCCUUUUUUAAAAAAAACAAGCACUUUCUUUUGAGUUUUCUGUUUCCUGCAUGGAUUUGUCUUCACAGGGGUAAAACUAGUCUUCGACUAAAAUCACGAAUCAUCUUUUGCUUGUUGGAGAUUUUUUCUUCAAUUCCUAAUUUAAACAGGAAUUUGAAUGAAACUUGGUCAGUGGCAACUAGCGCCUAUUCUUCUUUGGCUGGGCUUUCUUUGGGUUUCUGUCUCAAUGAAGAACGCCAAAAGUUUUUGAAGAAGACCAUGGCCCGUCGACCGACAGAAGCUUCGGGACCAUAGCUGGGCAUGUUGGGUUCUUGUUCUCCACUUGUUCAAAUGUGCAGAGUGACGGCUUAUUCUCCGUUGCAUCUCUGAAAAGAGGAAGGGAGAUGUCGAAAACUUCUUUAGACACCCAAGAGGCUACAGGAGGUUGUGGGAAGACGAUUUGCUGCUGUGUUUUGAUGAAAUCUCCGUUGGACAUCACAAGUUGCAGGGUGUCGAUGAUGUUGAAGACAUGGCGCAGCUGCUGUCUCUGUUUGGGCUUCCGUCUAACGUCGGCGGUUUAUUGCAAUGUUGCCUUCAUUAGCUAUUUCACACCGCUGCCAUCUUCUUGCUCAAACCUUCGUCAAAUUUGUUGAUGGUCUGGACUGGCGUGCCCAACUACGUCACCUGGUUUCAUCACCUUCGGAUCACGAACUGCACUGCCCUUGGGCUUCUUCCGGAGGACUGACAGAGACGACGGUUGAAAAAUGGUGGUGUUGCCGUAGUGCAGUGAUCACCUAGACCUGGUUGGAACUUCACGGGGUGGUUUAGACCACCCCGAAGAAAUUCAUGGGACUGGGGAUGGGAGAGAAACAAAUUGUUUUUUUUUCUUCUUGCAAAGCCGAGAGAAAGCAUACAAAGAAAGAUUUAGAAGGAUAGAUUUAUACCUUUAAAUGCUUUGUAGCAUUUCCUGCUCUUUGUUCUUGCGGGUAGCACUUGAUAUCUUCUUCUUUUUUCUUCUUUUGUUUCUCUUUUGCCUUUGCUCUCUUGCUUUGCCUCUCAUUCUCUGUUGUCUUCAUUGCGCUUUUCUGUCUCUCAAUUUUUGCAGAGUACCCUUGUCUUUUUUUUUUUUUUUUCUCUUGCUGUAGUUGAUGCCUAUUUAUAGGCAUCCCAAGUAAAGGAUGAUACAUUCCUGAUCUCUUGGGAUUGUUUCCUGUUUCAUCAUGAUUUCCAGAUUUCCCUGUUUUAUUAAAACAUUCCCCUUAUGUAUUCUUUGUAGAUUAAUUAUACUUGUAAAUCAAGUCAUUGUACACUAUUUAAAUCAAUGAUAAUGCACCCUCUAGGGCAUCGAGGGAUUGAGCCAAAAUACCUUCUUUUGAGUUAUCUUUUAUGGUACUCAGAGCCAGUGACUAACGUCUUUUUUUUCUUUUCGGAUUCUUCCUACUCUUCUCCAUGGCUGCCUCAACCAGUUCGACUACUCCUUCCUCCGACAUCUUCCCUUCUGUUUCUCAUGCGAUCUCCAUCAAACUUGACUCUUCCAAUUAUCCUCUUUGGUUGGCUCAGUUGCUACCUGUUCUUCGCAGUCGUCAAUUGUUGGCUUUUGUUGAUGGUACUUCCAUCUGCCCCUCGGCGUUCUUGUCCGACGAUACCGGCAACGCCUCUUCCAAACCCAACCUCGCGUAUGCUGACUGGGUUCAGAAGGACCAGCUUGUUCUUUCUUGGAUCAAUGGCUCUCUUGGUCACCAGGCCCUCGCCGCCACUGCUCGUCAUUCCACUGCCCGUGAUGUUUGGGUUGCUCUUCAGCAGCGUUUUGCUUCUACAAACCAAAGUCGCAUUCUUCAGCUUCGUACUGCUUUCUUCCAGACCAAACGAGGUGAUUCUUCAAUUUCUGACUUUCUUGAUAAGAUCAAUGGUAUUGCCGAUCAAUUGGCCCUUGCCGGGGCACCUGUUUCUGCUGAUGACAUGGUGCCGGUCGUCAUGUCUAAUGUCGGCCCCAAAUUUGAGAACACUGUUGCUGCUGCUCAGGCCCGUGACAACCCCAUCUCCCUUUCUGAUCUUGAGGCUCUUCUUCUCGUUGCUGAACUCCGCCUUGCUGAUCCUCCUGCUCCGCCGGACUCCAGCGUCUCGGCCCUGGUAGCCUCCCGCGGCUCUUCUGCCUUUCAUGGCCGCUCCUCUUCUGAUCGCGGCGGCGAUCGUGGCUCUGGCCGUUUCUCACGUGGGGGUGGUCGUCCUCAACAUGAUGGGUCUCGCAACAAUGGUGGUGACGGCUAUCGUGGCUAUCGCGGUGCUGGUGGUUUCCAUGAUCGUCCGUUUCGCGAUCGUGGUGGUGGUCGUCCUCAGCACGAUGGCUCUCGCUUCCGUGGCUCCAACAAUGCUUCUGGGGUUCUUGGUCCAGCCCCAUAUCACGGUUCCUCCCGUCCUCGCUGCCAUAUUUGCAAUACUUUUGGUCAUGGUGCUCUUGACUGUGCUCAACGUCUUAAUUUGGCUUAUGAAGGUCGUCCUCCUUCUUCCCGUCUCACUGCCUUGACUGCUCAGCACUCCCAGCCUUGGCUCAUUGAUUCCGGGGCAAACUCGCAUAUCACCAAUGAUCUCAAUACUUUGUCUCAGUCCCGUGAUUAUCGUGGUGGUGAUUCCGUCGGUGGUGUCGUUGGCGGUACAGGUUUGCCCAUUAACCGUAUUGGCUCCUCCACUCUCUCUCAUAAUAAUAUUUCUUUCAAGCUUAAUGAUGUUCUUCAUUGUCCGGAUGCUUCUACUUCUGUGUUGUCUGCUAAUCGGUUUAUGUUGGAUAAUAAUUGUUAUAUUACAUUGUUUCCUUCUUGUUUCUAUAUUCAGGAUAUGGAGACGGGGACGAUUCUUUUUUCGGGCAAGAGUAGCAAUGGCUUUUAUCCCUUUUCCUCUUCAUCACCGACUGCUCAUGGUCGUGCUGCUUUUCUUGGUGUUCGUGUUGGUAGUGAUGUCUGGCACUCUCGUUUAGGCCAUCCAUCUUCUUCCAUUUUAAAAUUUCUUUUUUCUAGGCAUUCGAAUAAGUUGCCUGUUUCUGGCAACCUCAAUCUCAAUACUUUUAUGUGUCAUUCUUGUCCUUUAGGCAAAAGUGUUAAGUUACCUUUUUCUGCAUCAUUGUUUGUUACUCAAGCUCCUCUUGAGCUUAUUCACUCCGACGUGUGGAGUGCGUCCAAUAAAUCUGUUAGUGGUUUCCAAUAUUAUGUUCUUUUUGUUGAUAAUUUCUCUCGUUAUUCUUGGAUUUAUCCCAUGAAAUUGAAAUCUGAAGUCUUUAAUAUUUUUACUCACUUUAAGACCUUGGUUGAAAAUCAAUUCUCCACUAAAAUUAAGAUGUUUCAGUCCGAUGGUGGGGGCGAAUACACUAGUCACCAAUUCAAGAAUUUUUUUCUUCACCAUGGUAUUCAUCAUCGUCUCUCAUGCCCUCACCAUCCCGAACAAAAUGGUUUGGCGGAACGCAAACAUCGUCACAUUGUCGACACUGGACUUACUUUAAUGGCCCAUGCGUCGAUGCCUCCUGCCUAUUGGGCUAAGGCCAUGCACACAGCAGUUUAUCUUCUCAAUCGCCUCCCCUCUAAAGUACUUGGUUUUAUGUCUCCUUAUCAAAAGUUGUUUCUUAAGGAACCUGAUUAUAGUUUUUUAAAGACCUUUGGGUGUGCAUGUUUUCCCCACCUACGACCCUAUAAUAAUAAUAAACUCCAGUUUCGUUCUACUAAAUGUGUUUUUCUUGGUUACUCUCUCAAUCAUCAAGGUUCUCGGUGCUUAGACAUCUCUACUAACCGCAUCUUUUUAUCACGCCAUAUUGUGUUUGAUGAAGGUAAUUUUCCUUUCAAGGCCAUCUCUGGCUCUCUUGCCCCAUCCUCCCCGGCCUCGUCUCCUCCUCCUGUUUUAGAAAUCACUGGGCCUCUUCCGCAUGCCCCCCGACCGUCUAGCAGCCAACCGGUGGUUGUGUCCCCCUCUUUGGAGACUCAUCAAUCCAGUCCAUCAUCCGACCCACCACAGCCGGCCCUACAGGUUUACUCCCGUGACCCUCACAGGCGGGUUCUUUCUUUUGCACAAGCAGCAACCCCAUCUGUCACUCCCAGGCCCACGCCUGCUGUUGCCUCUGCAGUUCAACCUGAUGCGCCUCCCGAGGCUCCAUCUGCUGCUGUACCACCUGCCGUGCCCUCUACUUCCCAUGGUAUGCUCACUAGGUCCAAAACGGCUUCUCUUAAGCCUCAUAAAUAUGUUUUUUCUGCUGCCAUUUCUUCUUCUACCGGUCCUAUUGAGCCUACUUGUUUUAGUCAGGCCAACACUUUUCCCGAAUGGCGUACUGCGAUGGCCGAUGAAUUUAAUGCACUUCAACGUGCUGGUACUUGGACUCUUGUUCCUCGUACCGCUUCUAUGAAUAUUUUGCCAAACAAAUGGGUGUUUCGUAUUAAACAGAAUUAUGAUGGGUCUAUUCAGCGGUAUAAGGCUCGUUUGGUAGCCAAUGGUUUUCAUCAGCAACCCGGCCUUGAUUAUGGUGAAACUUUUAGUCCUGUUGUCAAUCACUCUACUAUUCGCUUAAUUUUGGCUCUUUCAGUUCAGUUUCAAUGGCCUGUUCGUCAGUUGGAUGUUCAGAAUGCUUUUCUUCAUGGCUCUUUGUCUGAGGAGGUCUAUAUGCACCAACCUCGUGGCUUUGUUGAUCCACAGUUCCCUCAUCAUGUGUGCCGCCUUCGUCGUUCUUUAUAUGGGCUCAAGCAGGCGCCCCGUGCAUGGUUCCAAUGUUUUUCCACUCAUUUGGAAGAUUUGGGUUUUCGUCCCUCUACUGCGGAUCACUCGCUUUUUACCUAUAUUCAUGGCUCUACUCGCAUUUAUCUCUUAAUUUAUGUUGAUGAUAUUUUGGUCACCGGGAAUAAUCCCUCAUAUUGUCACCCUCAUUAAGAAUUUGGGCAUCCGUUUCUCUAUGAAGGACCUUGGACCGGUUCAUUAUUUCUUAGGCAUGGAGGUGGUCCGCACUCCAUCAGGUCUCUCUCUUUCCUAACAAAAGUAUGCCACUGACCUACUUCACCGCACCAAAAUGCAUGGUGCUAAGCCGGUUCCUACUCCUGCCGUUAGUGGGCGACGGCUCAGUCUUCAGGAUGGUGACCCUCUGCCGGAUCCUAUUGAAUACCGAAGUGUUGUCGGCGCCCUUCAAUACUUGACUCUCACUCGUCCCGACAUCAACUUCGCCGUCAACCAAGUCUGCCAAUUUCUUCACCAGCCGACUUCUACUCAUUGGGCCGCCGUCAAACGCAUUCUUCGUUACCUUGUCGGCACUACUUCUCACGGUCUUACCUACAAGCCUGGUUCCUUUCGUCUUACAGCAUUUUCCGAUGCCGAUUAUGCCGGGAUCCUGAUGAUCGGCGUUCCACCGGGGGCUAUUGCUUGUAUCUGGGUUCCAAUCUUGUCUCAUGGAGUGCCAAGAAACAAAAUGGGGUCUCUCGGUCCAGCACUGAAGCCGAGUAUCGUCAACUUGCAAUCACCGCUGCCACUCUUUCAUGGUUUCGUAUGCUGUUCCGUGACCUCCAGUUUCCUCUACAUUGUCCUACACUGUUUUGUGACAAUAUCAGUGCUAUAUCCCUUGCUUCCAACCCGGUGUUUCAUGCCCGCACUCGGCAUGUUGAGGUGGAUUACCAUUAUGUUCGUGAAAAGGUUGUUCGCAAGGAGAUUGAUGUUCGUUAUCUUUCUACUCAUGAUCAGAUUGCUGACUUCUUCACCAAGGGCCUUUCUCUUCCUCGUUUUCGACUUCUGGUUUCCAAGCUUCCUGUACUUGAUUGUACUGUCAGCUUGCGGGGGCGUAAAGGAUGAUACAUUCCUGAUCUCUUGGGAUUGUUUCCUGUUUCAUCAUGAUUUCCAGAUUUCCCUGUUUUAUUAAAACAUUCCCUUUAUGUAUUCUUUGUAGAUUAAUUAUACUUGUAAAUCAAGUCAUUGUACACUAUUUAAAUCAAUGAUAAUGCACCCUCUAGGGCAUCGAGGGAUUGAGCCAAAAUACCUUCUUUUGAGUUAUCUUUUCCCAAGAAGGCUCUAGAAUUUGUUACGUGGGGGAAGAUGGAGACCAUGACCUCCUGCCACUUUCUGUUAACCCCCUUUUCUGACUCCACGUUUCUUUUUGUUGCAGAAAAUGGGGGAGCACCUGUUUUUUGCACGUUACUUCCCCCCUUAUGUAGGAAAAAAAUUAUAAAUUUUUUAUUUAUUCCUGAAUGUAUUUGUAUGUAAAGCUCAUCCUCAUCUUUUGGGUUGGAUUACAUUUUUGUUUUACCUUGAAGUUUGACUCAAUUUGAAUGGACUUUAUUUUUUCAUAUUUUUUUUGUUCAACAAGCGUAGUUUUCUUUUUCUUUUUCUCUGUGAAAUAUAUAGUAUGAAGAGGGUGGAAAUGGGUCGGGGCUUACAUUUCCUUCACUUUCUGCCAAAAGAUUGUUCCGAACCACACUGAUAGAGCGAAAAUAAACGCGAAACGUGCUAGAUUGUACUUUGGACUUCUCCAGUGGGACAAGUGUUGUUUCCACAGACAUGCCUUAAACUGCACCCAGCUAUUUUGAGCAAAAGGAGUGGGAAGGUUCAAGCCCCUUGAACCCGGCUUUGGUUCGCUCAACCGGCUAACCAACUCGACCGUGUCUCUCUGAAAAAGAAGGAAACAAACAUAUAAAUUUGAUGAUUGAAAUAAAUACAUGAUUAAUCCUAAAAUAAUGGAAAUAUUAGAGAUAUGCCCUUACCUAUACUGAGUAGAGGGUUUAUAAAUUUCAGCAAAAUCUAAACAAAGUUUUGCCUCUACUGAGGCAGAAGUAACUUCUAACAUCCAAGUUGCUGGAUUGUAAUUUUCUUUGAUCUUUGGUACAUCACGAAUAUCCUCAAAAUAUUUGACGAGUUUACUCGAGUGAUGACCGAGAACUCCAGAAUAGAUGAUUUGGCCUCCCCUUUUCAUCAAAAGUAACUGCAAAAAUCAAUGUCUUCCGUUAGUGAUCGAGUGGCUUUUAUGAUUUGGUUUAGUUUUCUUGGACUCCAUGACAAUGCUCGUUAUACUACCUCGUCAAAUGACUGAAAAAUAUCAAUGCUUGGCUUGUGGAUUGUGCAAACAGUUGUCCUUCCUGUGGAAACAACAUUCUUUACUACGCAAAUGGCAAUUGCAGCUGCUCUGGCGUCUAAGCCUGACGUAGGUUCAUCCAUAAAUAUUAUUGAUGGGUUGGAUACAAGCUCCACUGCAAUUGUUAGCCUUUUGCGCUGUUCAGUAGAUAGGCCAGUUUGUCCAGGAAUGCCAACUAAGGAAUCUCUUAUAUCCUCCAGUUCAAUCGUUUGAAUGACUUCCUCCACAAAUUUCUGCAUAGAUUAAGCAAAGGAUACUUUCUUUUAUAUGUUCCAGGAAAUUUGCAUAUUAUUGAUAAAUUGAAAGAAUAUCAUCCUACAGCUUUUAUGUCUGGAUCAGUUUCGUGUGGCAACCUCAACCAAGCUGAGAACAUAAGCGAUUCUUCUACCGUGAUCUGUGGAGAAUGUAUAUCAGUCUGCUCGCAGUAUCCUGAUAUUCUUGCAAAUGUCUUCUGGACCUUGGGGUACCCUCCGAUUCUUAUAUCUCCCACGAUACUACCUCCUGUUUCCCUUCCAGAAAGAACAUCCAUGAGAGUUGUUUUUCCAGCCCCAUGCGGUAGGAAUUCCUGGACUGAAUGCUCCUGUUAUAUCUUUAAGCAACUGAAGCUUUUUCUCCUUGAAAGCAUGCUGUCUCAUUUCCUUUUUUAAGAAGGAAUGAAGUUAAAAUACAACUAAAUAGUUUUCCAAUGAUACUAAUAUGUGAAAAUUGACUAAUGAUUUGAUUAAUUACCGGAGGUGUAUCAACAUAAUACUGCACGUCCUUAAAUGAGAUUGUCAGUGGCUCGAACGGCAGGACCAUUCUCCCUGUUUAACAAAUUGAUUUACUCUCGAAUAAUUCAGUUGUUAAAAAAAUUCCUUGCUCGUUGCUUUGAAUGGAAAAUGUGAAACUGAUAACCCGGAUAAACUGGAUGCAACAAUUCAUCUCACCUAGUGUUAUCUUUUCUCCCAUGGUUUUGAAUAAAUCGGAUAGAGUUGAUUCAUUUUCCAACGGUGCACCAGUUUGGGUUAAUAUUUAACAUUGGGCUUAUAGGAGAGAAAGCCCAAAAGAGUUCAAUAAGAAGAGUUUCGUCCGAAGCCCAGCACCAAGCCCAGACCGUCCAUCUCAAGACCAAUUGGCACUCUCCUAUUAAUGCAAAGGCUAAGUGCUUACAAGAGAAGUGACAACUGAUGAAAAUCAACCUACUCUCAGCCCAAAAGUACUUUUCAGUGGCAAUACAAGUAAAAUAUUGAUGAGUCACUACCAUUCAAUUGCUUUUGGGUAAGAACAAAGCUACAAGCGGUCGGACUAAUUCGUUUAUAAAAGGAGGAAGAGGGCUCAGAGACAAGGACACUCAAUCAAUCAAACAUACAACUUGUCUCUCAUCCAAGCAAAUACCCAGAAAGCUGUGCUUUGUCCAGACUCUGCACCCUUUUAGCCUUAGAUUUCCUUAGAAAGACAUCUUUUUUCUAUGUAAAAGCUCUGCUACAUUUUUCUAAAUGUUGUAGUAUCGAUCCCUCGUGUAUAAACUCGUUUCCAGUCAUCUCCUUUAGUACUCAAUUCUUUUGUAAACUGCAAAGAGAAGAGAUCGCAAGGCGUUUAACCUUGCUUGACAAAGUGAAAUCUUGCCCAACUCUCUUUGUUUUUAUCUUUCAAUUAACAAAUAUGGUGUUAUAAUGUAUUCCGUAGUUUAUAUUCAAGUUAUUUCCAGUCCUUUGAUGACCCAAAGCCCCAUCAGUUCUCAGAUCUGGUUCACUUAGUGGUUUUAUCAAGAAUUGAAAUGAAUUAAACUGAUGACUUGAUCAGAUCUAAGCCUUCACCCCUCAAGCAUACAAAAUAACUAAAAGUCUUUGAUCUCAAGGCAUAGAAAAUAACUUAAUGUAGACUUAAUCCAUCUACAACAAUCCUUUGAUAAACAAGAAGUCAGAAAUAACUUGGGGUGCAAGUAAUCGGCUUAAAACACACUUGUUCUACAUCUGCCAUACAGAGAUGGCAGUGGCACGCCUAAGCACCUAGUUAGUUUUGAAUGCGAGCCUCAAGGCCUAUACCUAAGGCCCCACAAAGGCACCUUUCAGAACUAACUUUGUUUUCCUCUUGCAGUAUUGUGACAAGCAGGAGCCCAACAAUCAACCAAAGUGCCAACUCCUCGGGCAGCUGUGUGCUCGAGCCAGGAACGCCCACCAACCAGAUUUCCUGCCCAAAAAGCACCAGUUUUGCGAGCUCCCCUUCUUCAAAGUUGAGAUAAUCUUUUUUUCGAAACAAUAGCCCGAUACACCUUUGGAGCUGUAUGAGGAAAAGCUUAAGUAAACUGAUGUGGAGCUGUAUGAGGAAAAGCUUAAGUAAACUGAUGAAGUGGAUUGUAAUACUUAAGUUAUCAUCUGUCAAUUAAAAUGAAUCUAAGUAAGUUAAUGCUAAAAUAAAUCCAAGAUCAGACAGCAUUGUGAACCCGAGUAAUGCUCCUACUGAUAUCCAAUAGAAAUAGCCAUCAAAGUUCAAACCAUGCCUGGUUAGAACUUUAUUCCCUAGGGUUGUGUUUCCCUCUGAGACCUAAAGAAAUGAAUUAACACUGUCAAAACACUUAUUCGACUUCGAUGAUCGGGUACUAAAAAAGUUUAUCAUCUUGAGUUGUACCUUUUGCCAGCGAGGAGCGAGGAACUCGUUUAGAGUUGUACCGAUUUCCCCAUAAGUCAUAGGUGAACACCAGAAUAGUCAACGCAACCAAGGAGGUAAAGAGGCUGCAAAACACCCCUUAUUAGUCUAGUUGUAGUUGAAUGUAACUAAAGGAAAAAUACGAUAAAUGGACUUACAUCGUGGCAAGAUGAAGCCUCCGGAUAAAAACAUUAGCACUAGGAUUAAAAUACCGCAAGUUGAUGCAACAACCAUAGUUUGGAAAACUACAGCAAUUAAACGACAUAUGGAUGUCGAUGCUUGAUGGAGAGCAAAUAGCACAAGGAACUGGAAGAAGAACCUAAAAACCAUAGCAUAUUCUUGAGGCAUUAUUAUGAUUAUUGUUCAAGCCUUUCAUGUUCUGUCGUGUGACUAUAAAGUUGAGAUCUUACGUUUUUAUGUCUGGAGCGUACCCAAUCAAAUGGUAAGUUAUUGCUGUCCACAGCAGUGAAUCAAUCACUGAAAAUGGAACCUUCAGGAUAGACUGGAAGAGAAUACGCCCAUGCUGGAUACAGAUUGAAUCCUCUUUGCUUGUAAACCACUGGUAAUCUAGUAACAGUCACAGCUCUGCAAUUCCGUUGGUCAUAAGUCGAAUAAGUGUAUAAAACAAUGAGUUCAUAAAAAAACUUGCAUUUAUCAAAUCCACGGUCCUACGGGUGCUUAUACAGAUUGCCAUUGUAAUAAAUGCAGUGAUGACAAGCUGUGGGAAAAAAAGAGAGAAAAUAUAGUAAGUGAUUUUGAGUUUAACUUCAGAAGUACAACCCCUAAAAGUGAUAUCAUUAGGCAGUAAACCUGAGCUGUUUUGAAUACGUAGAGAAAGGAAUUCCGUUUCAUGAGAAGAAGCUCUCGGGCCAUACAACCUUUGAACAACUCCCAUUUGCUCACAGAGUAAGUACUAAAUGAUAAGGCAUUAUCAUGGCACUGUGAUUUAUUGUAUGGUUUUGAGAGCUCAUCGUCUAAUUUCUUCCCCGAGUAACUUGCUCUGAAAAGUUCAAAAAAUUUGUUUGCAGAAACAUGACCGUAGGGAAUGUUAUCAUGCUUCCAGUAUUGUGCUUGAUCCUUCUUUGAGAUCACCUCUUGAAGGAAAUCUGCAGCACCCUUUCUUGGUGGGCACUUGAAACCAGAGUCUUCGAAAAACUCAACUGCGUGGCUGCGAUGACCGUGGUAAACUAUCUUCCCCUCUGCCAUUAGUAUUACAUCAUAAAAAAUAUCAAUGGUCUCGGGUGCUGGUUGGAGAAGUGAUACCAAUGCAGUUGUAUCUGUGAUAUGCACCAGCUGCUGAAGAUAGGUAACUAUCUGAAAGGUUGUAGAACUGUCUAAUCCCGUUGAUAUCUCAUCCAUAAAAAGAGCUUUUGUAGGACCUACAAUCAUUUCUCCUGAAGAUUAAACAGAAGAGGAAUGUUAUGUUUGAAACAUUUUUCUACAUGGGAAUUAGUAAUUACAUUCAAAUUUCCCUCGGAUUCAAGAUUUCACUACCGGUUGUCAGCCUUUUCUUCUGGCCACCAGAAAUGCCUCUUCUUAAUGCAUCACCAACCAUUGUGUCACUCACUACACAUACCCAGUCCAAGUAUCUAAAGAGAUUCCAAAAUAUCGUAAUUCAUUUUUCCUGUCCGAGUGAGUUAGAAAUGUCACGUUUGAACUACUUAAUGUCAGCAUUGUCCAUGUCCAACACUGGUUGGAGAAAAAUUUACCUUCAAAACAUAAUCGGUUUGGAGAUUUUCCCUUUGUCCUUCAACUGAAAUGGCCUGUGAGUAUUAUGUAAAUCUCUAAAACCUCUAACACAAAAGGGUGGUAAGAUUUACUAAAAGGAAUGUUAUGAGACUUUACAAUUACCUUCAUGUAGGUGUCAAUAUCUGGAUCGGGGACUAUUCCUGCUUCUUUUUCCCUUCUGCUGAGCUCCAUUAUUAUAUAUGCAUAAAAUACGAUCGAAAUUAAACUUCAUACGUCAAUAGAAGUACACGACUAACCCAAUAGUAAAUGCAAUAGGGGAUAAGGAAUAUGCACCAGCUCUACUGCCAACACCCUGGCAGCGGGAGGAAAAGUCAAUUGUUUCCCUCAGUCAUCUCAGGCAGGUGAAGGUCAUGCUGGCUAAUGUAAGCUGAUGUUUUUUGGGGAACAAACUCAUCUAGCUUGUAACCAUUAUAAGUGUUGUAAACUGAAAUAGAAAGGAACGAAGUUACCUAAAAAAAUGUAGAAGCCUUGAGUGGUGAAUGAUUAUUGGGAUGAGUUGCGGACUAAGUCGCUUUCUUUAAGACGUUUCGCGGCUCUACCCAAAGUGUGCAAGCAGUUCACAAACACCACAUCGUCCUAGGAUAAAACAGCCCAAAACCUUCUUCUUCUUCUUCUGAUAAAGUUCUUCCUUGUACAGUAGAAGAACCUUCGAAUUCACAUUCUCUCAAUAUGUUGCUAACCAAAACUAUAUAUUAGAAAAUAUAUCUUCUUUUUUUUCCGCAUACUUUCAAUGAUCCAGGGACUACUAUAUAUACAUUUAGACGAAAGAGAUGUUGAGGGUUUGAGAAAAUUGAAAGCAGGACAAAAUCAAAACGUAAGUCAAAUAAAACGGUUUGAUUAUGUAUCAUGACAUGAUCUUCUUCUCUAUACAAAGAAGGAAUGGCACGUUUCAAACUUAAAAGGAGAUAACUCCUUACCUAAUUGAAAAGUCAAAAUCAAUUGGCAGUUAUGCAUAGAAUAUUGGUAAUAAAACAAAACGUUAUGUAUAUAAUAUUGGUAAUAAAAUAAAACAUAAAUAUAUUUAAAUAUUUAAAUAAAAACAUAUUUACUCAACAAUCCCCCACUUGUUUUUGUUUAAAACUAUACAUCAAGCAAUAUAUCGUAAAGCUAUACAGAAGUAAAUGUGUUUCUCAACUUAAAUCUAUACAUAGUGUUAGUGAUCGAGAUUAUACUAGAGUAACUUAUAGUUUUGAACUCUAUCCCUAACAACACCACACACACAACUUUAUUAAGGUGAAGUUCAAAAAGCCAGCACAUUACAACCAUGUGCUUGUAUCCCAGUAUAGUGAACGCUCUAGAAACUUGCUCAAGAUUUCAUAGGAAGCGGCAUCACUUCCACAUUCACAUAGUUAAGACUAUCAAGGUAUUCCUGUAGCUAGAUAUCUCACUUAACAUAGAGUAUAGACCUUACUAAGAGAAAAAAAAAUCUCAACCUAAAUACGCUUCAGGAUGUCAUGCUUCUUAGGGAUGGACAUGGAAUAAUAUUCCAAACUAAAAUUAGCAAGACUUCACUCUUAUCACUUGUGACUUGUUAUUACCCUUUGAACCUAUUUCUUGGGAUCUCUAGUCUAUAGGUUGGGUUGCUAUCACAAAUAACUCAAUUCUCUAGGGCUUUAGUCCCAUCCCUUUCGAGGUUUUCCAAACCUUUUCUCGUGCUAGUCCUUUUGUCAAAGGAUCAACCAAGUUUUCUUCAUACCGUAUAUGAUCCACUCUCACAGCUCCAUUAGACAGGUAAUCUCUUACAGUGAUGUGCUUACGACGUAUUUGUCGCCCUUUCCCAUUAUAAUAAUGAUUUUGCACUUUAGCUAUUGCCGAUGUGCUAUCACAAUGGAUCAAAACUGCUGGAAUCGGUUUCUCCCAUAAAGAGGUAUCUGACAGUAGGUUUCUCAACCAUCCUGCUUCUUCGCUUGUCGUAGCUAGCGCUAUUAAUUCUGACUCCAUAGUGGACUGAGCCAUGAUAGUAUGUUUCUUAGACUUCCAUGAUACAACCCCACCACCAAGACUAAAAAUACAUCCACUAGUGGCUUUAGAGUCAUCUGAAAGGGUAUUCCAAUCAGCGGCACUGCAACCUUCUAGGACAGCGGGAAACUUCUCAUAGUGUAAUCUAAAAUUCAUUGUCCUUUUAAGGUAUCUCAUAAGCCUAUCUAUGGCAUGCCAAUGCUCCAAACUAGGUCUACUAGUAAACCUGCAUCAAACUCCUACGACAUAAGAUAUAUCAGGCCUAGUGCAAUCAGUAGCAUAACGAAUGCUACCAAUAAUACUCGCAUACUCAGAUUGUUUAACACUGUCACCAAUGUUCUUGAACAAUUUUACACUAGGAUCAUGAGGAGUACAUGCUGGUUUACAAUCAAAAUAAUUAUACUUUCUUAAAAUUGUUUCUAUGUAGUGAGAUUGAUCUAAAGAAAACCCAUGUUCAAACCUAGUUAUUUUCAAACCAAGUAUUACGCUAACUUCACCCAAGUCUUUCAUAUCAAAAUUAGCAGAUAACAAAGAUUUGACAUUAUUCACAACAUGAAUAUUCGAACCAAAAAUAAGCAAAUCAUCCACAUAUAGGCAUAUAUUACUUUCAGACUUAUAAUAGAUGCAUUUGUCACUUUCAUUUAUUUUAAAACCAUUUGAAGUAACCAAACUAUCAAAUUUUGCAUGCCAUUGUGUGGGAGCCUGUUUCAAUCCAUAAAGUGACUUAUUUAACUUGCAAACUUUAUUUUCUUUUCUUGGAAUAAUAAAACCUGUGGUUGACCCAUAUAUAUUUCUUCCUCUAAUUUACCAUUUAAGAAAGCUGUUUAACAUCCAUUUGGUGCACAACAAGAUCAUGAAUAUAAGUUAAGGCAAACAAUACACGAAUAGAUGUUAUUCUAGUCACAGGUGAACAAAUAUAAAAGAAAUCAAUCUUUUCUCUUUGUCUAUAGCCUUUGGCAAUAAGUCGGGCUUUAAAAUUUUCAACUGAUCCAUCAGGUUUUAAAUUUUUUUUAAGAAUCUAUUUGCAACCUAUUGUUUUGCAACCAGGUGGAAGAUCCACCAAGUGCCAAGUUUGAUUUGACUCCAGGGAGUCCAUUUCAUCAUUUAUAACUUCUUGCCAAAAAAUUGCAUCUAAAGAAGUUAAAGCUUCUUGAAUUGUAUUAGGAUCUUCUUGUAAGUUAUAUACAUGGAAAUCAGGGCCAAAAUCUUUAGCUAUUCGAGCUCUUUUACUUUUCCUAGGUUCUAAUGCAGAUUGACUAUGUUUUACAACAUUAGGUUCAUAAAUUUUAGAAGAAUUAGAACCCCCACUAUUUUGAAGAUUAAAAGGAAAUUUAUUCUCAUAAAAAUCAGCAUCAAGUGACUCAAUUAUGACAUGGUUUUUCAAAUCAUAACAUCUAUAUGCUUUGCUAUUACAUGCAUAACCAAUAAAAACACAUUCAUAUGCUCUACUAGCCAAUUUCGAUCUUUUUGGACCAAGUUUACGAACAUAAGCUAAACAACCCCAAGUUUUGAAAUACAAUACAUUUGUUUUCUUAUUUUUCCAAAUUUCAUAAGGAGAGAUAUUCGAUUCUGAGGUAGGAAUUCUAUUUAAUACAUAACAUAUAGUCAACACAAUUUCACCCCACCAAUAAGAAGCAGCUCCAGAACUAAGUAGCAACACUCAAUUCGCAAAGAGUUCGAUUUUUUCUUUCCGCUUUACCAUUCAUUUCAGGAGAAUAAGGAGCAGUAGUUUCAUGAAUAAUUCCAUUAGACUUAAACAAAUUAACAAAUUCAAUGGAUUCAUAUUCUUGUCAUCUAUCACUACGAAAUCUUUUAAUCUUAUGAUUAAACUGAUUUUCAACUUCAGUAAAGAAAGUUUUGAACAUGUCAAUAGCUUUACUUUUAUUUUUCAUAAGAUAGACAAAACAGUAAUUCAAACAAUCAUCAAUAAAGGUAAUAAAAUAACGUUUUCCAUUUCUAGUUAACACUCUAUCAAAUUCGCAUAUAUCAGAAUGAAUUAAGUCAAGUGGUUCAGAUUCUCUAUUGACAGAUUUAUGUGAAGUUCUAGUGAUUUUAGCUUGACUACAAUAUUCACAUUUUUCAAAAUCAGUCAACGAUAAGUUAGGUAAAAAGCCUAAGUUACUCAUGUUCUUAACCAAGAGUUUGUUAACAUGACAAAGUCUAGCAUGCCAAGUAUUAAAAGAAGACAACAUGUAAUCAGAAGUAGACAUUUUAUCAACAUUCAAUUUAAACAUUCCAUUAGUAGCAUAUCCCUUUCCCACAAAAACCCCAUUUCUAGUAAGAGUAUACGUAUUUGCUCCAAACGUUUGAGUGAAUCCAGCCUUGUUGAGAAGUAAGCCUGAGACCAAAUUCUUCCUUAUUGUUGGAGCAUGCAUCACAUCUUUCAGUAUCAUGGGUUUUCCAGAGGUGAACUUUAACUCCACCUCUCCAGUACCAGCAACAUCAGUUGAGUGCGAAUCACCCAACAACACAUUUCUUCCCUCAGCCAUAGAAUAGGUCUUGAAAAGAGAACGAUCGUAGCAAGCAUGGGGAGAAGUGCCAGUGUCCACCCACCACCCACCACCCCUCGGACUAAGUUGAUUUCUGAUAUCAUUGCAAUUAGUUGCUCUUCAACAAGAUUUGUUUGAGAAGCAAAGUUUUCCUUAUAAUGCAUGGCAGAUUGAAUUCAUCUUAAAAUUGUUGUAAACUGAAAUAGAAAGGAACGAAAUUACUCAAAAAAAAUGUAGAAGCCUUGAGUGGUGAAUGAUUCUUGGGAUGAGUCAGGGACUAAGUCACUUUCUUUAAAACAUUUUGCGGCUUUGCCCAAAGUGUGCAAGCAGUUCACAAACACCACGUCGUCCCCAGGAUAUAACAUCCCAAAACCUUCUUCUUCUGAUGAAGUUCUUCCUUGCACAGUGGAAGAACCUUCGAACUCACACUCUCUCUCAAUAUGUUGCUAACCAAAACUAUAUAUCAGAAAAUAUAUCUAUUUUUGUUCCGCAUACUUUCACUACUAAAUAUACAUUUAGACGAAAAAGACGUUGAGAGUUUGAGAAAAUUGAAAGCAGGAAUAAAACGGUCUUAGGUCCGAUUCUCGCCGAAGGCGAAUUUGAACCACUAAACCGUAGCACUAAGUGGCUCCUAACAAUGUCUCUUAACAAGUUUAGAGGUAUUUGUCUUCACUAAUAAAUGAAAAGCGUUUGAAUUUCAUGAAUGACAAGUGCAAUACAAAAUUCAAAUUAUCAUGGUUCUUCCAUUAUAUGAUUUAACCAAAGCAUACCAUCUCUUAGUGUAAAUAUAUCAUUGAACUAUCAUUGAAGUAGUUCCAACAUUCGUAUACCAUCUUAAUUAUCAAUUUACUAUUACAAAAUUUCUAUUAAUUUUUCUUUACAAACUAAAGUGUUAUUAGGCUAAGUUGUUAAAUAUUAGGAGAUGAGUAGGGAUCGACCCACCGCCAAAGUACAUAUAUAGGUAUUACUGUUUUCUGCUACUAUGAUAAAGUGUAAUAUACUUCUAUAUAUUAAAAGAAAAUUCACUGAUACAUUUCCACAUGUAAACAUUCAACAUUGGACAUAUAUAAUAUUUUUCCCUACUUCUUUGGAAAUUUAAUUUUCCAAUGCAAUAGGCAAAUAGGGAAACAAAGACAAUCCCAACUGGGAAAGCAAUGAGAACAAGAGCCACAAGGCCUAAACAAUCAUGGUGGAAACCAUAAUAAUCUUGUAGGAUUAUUUUCUAUUUAAAAAACGUAUGUGAACAUACACAUUAUUUUCUAUUAUAAUAUGUGUAAGUUUAUGAAGGGAAAUAUUCACUAAAAUGAUCAAAAAUCAAAUUCUGAUGCCAAAACAAAAUCAAAUAUUGUCAUACUGAAAAACUAAUCAUUUCAACAAAUGAGAUUCAAAUAUUUGAUUAUUUUGGCCAAUUUUCCUGUAUUGAUACCCUAACCUAAAGUAUAAAUUACUUGCACAUCCAAAUUAUAACACAUGAAUUAACAACACUCCGUCAAUUAGACUUGUGUUACAUGUAUUUACACGGUUAUUGUCAUUCCAAGUGCUCAAAUGCUAAUGGAGUUACACAAAACCAUCAAAUAUUAGAAAAGAUUGGAUUCAAGAUAUACUAAGUAUAAUGUACAGAAUGUUGCAUAUAAAGUACCAGAAAACUUUAGUAGGUGACCAAGAGAACCCUAUUGCAGGAUAUGCAACGGCUACAUACAAAACUUGUAACAUUGUAUAAUGUAUUUUAAUGGCAACAUGCAACAUUUAACACUUUACACUAUAUUUGGAUGAGGAAGUUUAAGAUUGCUAAGGAAAUUUAAAGUAACGGAAAUUGAAAUGAUGGAAUUUUAUUUUAUAGAAUAUGUGAAUUUUCUUGUUUGGUUGAGGAAAAUAAACUUGGAAUUUAGAUAAAAGUCAGAAUUUGUAAAUUGACAUGCACCAGUUUCCUUGUUUGGAUUCAUAAACAUAUAUAGGAAUUUAGAAUUUUCGGGUGAAAAAAAAACUUGGAAUUUGGGACCUCCAAUUCCCAAGUUUAAAUUCCAUGUAAAUAUGUAUCAUUUCCCAAUUUCUAUGAUUGAGUGCUUAAAAAUAACAAAUUCCGUAAUCAAUUCCAUUUAUUUUUAGGUUAACCAAACAAGAGAAUUCACAAAUUCUAGAAAAUAAAAUCCUGUCAAUUCAAUUUCCGUCAUUUUAAAAUUCCUUAGUAAUCUUAAAUUUCUUCAUCCAAACAUAGUGUUAAGAACAAUGGAAUUUGAAAUGAAAUUUGUUAUUUUAAACCCUCAUUCAUGAAAAUUCAGAAAUGACACCAAUUUACAUAGAAUUUAAAAUGGGAAUUAGAUGUCCCAAAUUCCAAGUUUUUUUCUCAUGCAGAAAUUCUAAAUUUCUAUGUUUAUGAAUCCAAACAAGAGAAUUGGUACAUGUUAAUUUUUAAAUUCCAGCUUUUAUCAAAAUUCCAAGUUUAUUUCCCUCAUCCAAACAUAGUGUUAGUUUAAAACUGUGAAGAUUUUGAUUUAUCGAUUACAAACUAAAUAAGUACUUGAAUUCUUAGGCACUUCAACGUAUGAACUUGUGCAAAUGAACAAGGUCGGCCCUGAGAUUUUGAAGGCCCGAGCUAAGCUACCAAAUAGGAGCCCUUUAAUUCUUAGGCACUCCAAUUGGUUGUAGGUUCAUAUACAUUUUAUUUUUAUAGUAAAUACUCAUUAAUUUAUUAUUAUAUCGUACUCUUAUUUAAUUAAUAAUCAACAAUAUGCUAAAGUUUUAAGAAGGUGUUUGGACCCAAAAUUACAUCAUCGGCCCGUGCAAUCAAGGCCGUUGAGUAGGCAUAGCUCUCAAUCGUCGGAUAAAAAAGCAGAGAUAAUUUUGUUAUUAAAGGAUAAUAUUAUGGUUUUUAUCAUAAUUAUCUUUUAAUGAUUUAUCUCGACAUCUUCUUAUGAAAGAGGGAAAAUAUAUCUCCAAGCUGGAAACACGCAGCACAAUUCAAAGCGAUUUGGAUGUUUGGCGUGUGGAUGUGGUUUGGAUCGGUUUUAGUUGACAAAUAUGCAUGCAUGUGAUAAGGGUGAAGUAAAAAUGGUGAUAUGCUUUGAAAAUGAGUCUACAUGUGUUGGUGAUAAGAUGGCAGCAACUGCCUUGCUGACAAUUAACAUUGGGUAUUUUAUGCUAAAUCAUGCAUAUUGGUAUAUGCUUUUGUAUUGUGGGCCAGCAUAUGUUUUUUUUUUAUGGAGCCAAAUUCAUUUAACAAUGGAUAUUUGGAACAAUAAGAAGUUUAAGUAGGCAUAGGCCUUUGAGAGUUUGAGUUUCAGUUGGUUUCUACGAAAUCAUCAAGGCCACGCCAAGCGGGAUCAUGCAUAUUUGAAAGAGAAUAUUCCUAUUAUUUUGCAACUUACGACGGCAAUCUUACGGUUAUAGAGGCAAUGACAACAUAAAGGUGGUAUUUCGAAUUCAACACACAAACUGCCAUGCACAAACUCUUGCUCUACGCGAAACCUCUUAACAACCUUGAGAUUUUUAUUUUCCUUUUUCGCCAACACAUCUUCAGUUUGGAUAAAUAGCACUAUGAAGGCAACCGGUGAACAUCUUCACUUUGGAUAAACAAUACUAUAACCGUAGAACCAUUCGACCAUGAAGCACCUUUAGUUUGGAUAAACAACAUUGCUCCGAGACCGAUUGAUUACCUAUCCAAGUCUCGGUCAAGAAGAAUUUUCAAGUCCUUACUAGUAGAGAUCAUCUCAUCAGCCUUCUCGACGAAGUGAGGUGUUACCAGGUUACUACAUUCGGCACCCUGAGAGCCCAAUUUGAUAUUGAACUUCGUAGAACUAAUAGCCUUGUCUUCAGGUUCUAGAACCUGAAGGUCGAGACGUGUUCAUUUCUCGACCGCAGUCGUGAGAUUCAGAAGUCAAUAGUGCGCCCAAUGCAACAUCAACUCAUUUUACUUACCGGUCAAGCUCGACCGUCGAGUUGGCAUGCCCCACACACAACCGAAGGACAUAGUUAGCUUUUUAAUUACUCGGCUUGUGCGCCACGUAUACUUGAUAGUUUUUAAGAUCAACAGAAGGUAAAGAGCAAUAAAAACUGAUUAACGAAUUUAACAAAUUUAAUAGCGCCAAUUGAUCCUCUUGUAUUCUUCUUGAAAUCAAUUUCACAAUAACGAAUAUUAGAAUCAUGAGAUGAUUGAUAAUAAAUUAUUGAAACAGAGAAGAUAUAGCAAAUAAGAUAAGGUAGCUGGCAUUUGAUAGCGAUUUUGCUUGUAAAACUACACUUUUUGUCCAUCCAGAAGAAACCCAUUCUUCUGUUACAUGGCUUAACCGUGACCACACAAAACAGGAGAGCACGGGAAGGGCACCAGAAGUGGAGGGCAAACAAUCCUUGUCCGUGCUUUGUCCAUCGAGAAUAAGAAAUUGUAGGGACUAGGGGCCCAUUGCUCUUUUGAGAUGCAAGUUAAGGGACCUAACAAAGGGAAGUAAAAAGCAUUGGUAGGACAAAACAAGCCGUUUUAGGAAAACAACUUGGGGGAAGAUUCUCUCAUUUCCUAAUCUCUCUCCCAUUUUCUCUCCUUCUAUUUGAACGGUUACGGUUUAGCUACGUCAAUAUCUUAUAUAUAUAUUUUUAGAGACGAUAAGACAAAAAAUAAUAUGUGGGAGAAGGGAAAAGAAGGGGAUGAGAAUAGGAGGGGAGAUAAUUCUCUUCCAAACAACUUGCCUAUACAAUUCGGAUUCUAAGACGGUGGUAUCCCAAACGAAUCUCAUCCGACUAUGUGUUUAAACAUUGCACAUGACACCACGUGAUUGUUAAAACAUUGUCACCGUAGUGUAUUGUACAUAUACAUGAUUGUUUUGAAGUAACAUCAUCAUUGUGACAUAUUCAUGACGUAUGCUUAUCUCGCCGACUAGAGUUUCAGAUUCCUAACCAGGCGGGCAUAAACGUGCUUACAGCCUAAAAGGCCUUAACCUCAUAGAUCUGAAAACACAUUUCUGUCGGAGAAAUUGUCAAGAAUAAGAUACGAACUAGAGUUUACUCCGGGCAAGAUACCUGAGAUUUUUAGCCGUUAAAGUCAUUGAAUUCUUGACCAAUGAUCUAACAGCUAAGUUCACAUUGUAUAACCGAGGCACACUACAGAACGUAGAAAAAAAUAAUGGGGAUUAAAACGCUUCAUUGGGUAGAGGGAUAAGUGACAAAACAAUGAGAAAAAACACAUCAAUUGUAUUAGAAAUGCAACUUGCCAAUGUGCACAACAACAAAUGAACAUAGUUGCUACUCCACCGCAAAACCACCUCUGUGUCUGUCAAAUCUUAUUAAUCUCUGCGAGCAGAGGUAGCAAAACAACCUUGAAAAAAAACCCCCCACAACUUUCCAUAUGUUUUUUUUGACACCCCCGUUAACCCCUCAUAAUCAUAAACUACUAAUGACACAUUCUUCAAAGAACACGAAAAUAUAAAAAUACUAAUAAAAGAAAACCCAAAUGGCGCAAUGCCUGUAUAGAGAGAGAGAGAGAGAGCGAGAGCAGCAGAGGCUUAAUUCAAUUCAAUGUUUUGAUUCGAAGGGGUGAAGACUGAAGAGCCGCCAUUAAAGCUUUAAGCUUGGGGCUUGUCCCACUUGAGUGGCUUGACAACCUCCCAGGUGAAGUCGGGGUCAUCCCUCCCGAAGUGUCCGUAGGCGGCGGUCUUCAAAAACCUUCCAUUGCCACCCCUCUUGAG
Molecule: long non-coding RNA, 57674 nt
Filed under: Malus domestica (apple)
Lineage: Eukaryota; Viridiplantae; Streptophyta; Magnoliopsida; Rosales; Rosaceae
Description: long non-coding RNA (MDOM_LNC011918)
Source: RNAcentral